AAGGCACCUCUUGAGUACUGUUGGAUGCAGCUUGCAUUCCAUUCAAACUCUGAGAAAUCAUAUUGACUUGAUGAGUCAAUAUUUUAUUCUGAGCCAAUAUGGCAUUCAGAGUAUCAAUUUUAAGAACUCCCUUCUUUAUAGGCAUCCCAUUACUCACAGGAUUCCUCUCAGAAGUGUACAUGAAUUGGUUAUUAGCAACCAUGUCAAUGAGUUCUUGAGCUUCUGCAGGCGUUUUCUUUAGAUGAAUGGAUCCACCUGCAGAAGUAUCCAAUGACAUCUUAGCUAAUUCAGAUAGACCAUCAUAGAAUAUAUCCAGGAUGGUCCAUUCUGAAACCAUGUCAGAAGGACACUUUUUUGGUCAGUUCCUUGUAUCUCUCUCAAGCUUCAUAGAGGGAUUCACCUUCUUUCUGUCUGAAGGUUUGAACAUCCACUCUAAGCUUACUAAGCUUUUAAGGAGGAAAGAACUUGGCUAAGAAAGCCUUGACCAGCUUAUCCCAAGAGUUCAGGCUAUCUUUAGGUUGAGAGUCCAACCAUACUCUAGCUCUGUCUCUUACAGCAAAAGGGAAAAGCAUGAGCCUGUAGACUUCAGGAUUUACUCCAUUAGUCUUAACAGUAUCACAUAUCUGCAAGAAUUCAGUUAAGAACUGAAAAGGAUCUUCAGAUGGAAGUCCAUAAAACUUGCAGUUUUGUUGCAUCAGAAAAACUAGUUGAGGCUUAAGCUCAAAAUUGUUUGCUCCAAUGGUGGGAAUGGAGAUGCUUCUUCCAUGUAAAUUGAAAUUAGGUGCAGUAAAAUCACCAAGCAUCUUCCUUGCAUUAUUAUUAUUUUCAGCUGCCAUCUCCUCUUCUUGUUCGAAAAUUUCUGAAAGGUGCUUGCUGGAUUGUUGUAAUUUAGCUUCUCUUAGUUUCCUCUUCAGAGUCCUUUCAGGUUCUGGAUCUGCUUCAACAAGAAUGUUCUUGUCCUUGCUUCUGCUCAUAUGAAAAAGAGGGAACAGAAAAAUAAUAAUAGAGAUCCUUUUUGCCCAAGUAUAGAGGUUCCCUUAGGUGAGUGGAAGAAAAGAAGAGUAGAAGAAAAGAAGAAGAGAAAAUCUGAACUCAGAGAAAGAGAGGGGGAAGUUUUCGAAAAUAAUUUUUUUUGAAAAAGAGUUAGUGAUUUUCGAAAAUUAGUUUUUGAAAGAGGUUAGUAAUUUUCAAAAAUUAAAAUAAUUAGUUAAUAAAAAAAGAAAUUUUGAAAAAGAGGGAAGGGAUUUUCGAAAAUUAGAGAGAGAGAGUUAGUUAGGUAGUUUUAAAAAAGAUAAAAAACAAACAAAAAGUUAGUUAGUUAGUUGAAACAAAUUUGAAAAUCAAUUUUGAAAAGAUAAGAAGAUAAGAAAUUAGAAAGGAUAUUUUAAAAUCAAAUUUUUGAAAAAGAUAUGAUUUUGAAAAAGAUAAGAUAAAACGAUAUUUUUGAAAAGAUAUGAUUGAAAUUAGUUUUGAAAAAGAUUUGAAUUUUAAAAUCACAAUUAAUGACUUGAUUCACAAGAAAUCACAAGAUAGGAUUCUAUAACUUAAAGUUUGAAUCUUUCUUAACAAGUAAGUAACAAACUUGAAAUUUUUUAAUCAAAACAUUAAUUGAUGAUCUGAUUUUCGAAAAUUAUGUGAUGGAGAUAAGGAAAAAGAUUUUUGAAAAUAUUUUGAAAAAGAAUUUUGAAAUUUUCGAAAAUAAUAAAAAAAUGGAAAAGAUAUGAUUUUUGAAAAAGAUUUUGAAAAAGAUAAGAUUUUUAAAUUGAAAAUUUGAUUUGACUCAUAAGAAACAACUAAAUUUUAAAAAUUUUUGAAAAAGUCAACUCAAAUUUUCGAAUUUAUGAGAGAAAAGAGGGAAAGAUAUUUUUUUUAUUUUUUGAAUUUUUAUGAUGAGAGAGAAAAACAACAAAAAUACUCAAUGCAUGAAAAUUUUUGGAUCAAAACAAUGAAUGCAUGCAAGAAUGCUAUGAAUGUCAUGAUGAACACCAAGAACACUUUGAAUGUCAAGAUGAACAUCAAGAACAUAUUUUUGAAAACUUUUUGAUGCAAAGAAAACAUGCAAGACACCAAACUUAGAAAUUUUUCAUGUAUAGACACUAUGAAUGCAAGAAUGCAUAUGAAAAACAAGAAAAGAUUCAAAACAAGAAAACAUCAAGAUCAAACAAGAAGAUUUACCAAAAACAACUUGAAGAUCAUGAAGAACACUAUGAAUGCAUGAAUUUUUCGAAAAAUGCAAAAUGAAUAUGCAAUUGACACCAAACUUAUAACAUGACACAUGACUCAAACAAGAAACAAAAAAAUAUUUUUGAUUUUUAUGAUUUUCUAAAUUUUUUAUGGAUUUUUCGAAAAUUAAUGUGAAAAGGAAAAAUAAGGAUUCCAAAAUUUUUAAUAUGAAUUCCAGGAAUCUUGCACUCUUAGUCUAAAGCUCCAAUCUGAGGGUUAGACAUGGCUUAAUAGCCAGUCAAGCUUUAGAAGAUACAAAUCAGGUAUACAACAGCUGAAACUUCAUCUAACUUCAUAUACUUAUAAGUGGAAGCCUUAGUCCAAGAAGACAUGGCUUUACAGCCAGUCAUGAAACACUAGAAUUCAUUCUUAAAAAUUCUGAAGAAAAAUAUAUUUUAUUUUUUUUGAAAAUAUUUUUUUGGAAAAACGAAAAAGAAGAAAAUAUUUUUGAAAAAUUUUUGAAAACUUUUUGAAAAUAAAAUAAGAAGAAAAUUACCUAAUUUGAGCAACAAGAUGAACCGUCAGUUGUCCAAACUCGAACAAUCCCCGGCAACGGCGCCAAAAACUUGGUAUGCGAAAUCGUGAUCACACAGAUUUAGAUUUGUAAAAUUAUUUGUUCGUUCUUUCCCUGGCAAUUGCGCCAAAAAUGGAUGCACAAAACCAUGGUCCAAACAUAACUUCACAACUUCGCACAACUAACCAGCAAGUGCACUGGGUCGUCCAAGUAAUAAAACCUUACAUGAGUAAGGGUCGAUCCCACGAAGAUUGUUGGUAUGAAGCAAGCUAUAGUCACCUUGUAAAUCUCAGUCAGGCGGAUAUCAAAUAGCUUUGGAGUUUUCGAAAAUAAAUAAUAAAUAAAUAGAAAAUAAGGAUAGAAAUACUUAUGUAAUUCAUUGGUGAGAAUUUCAGAUAAGCGUAUAGAGAUGCAUUCGUUCCUCUGAAUCUCUGCUUUCCUACUGUCUUCAUCCAAUCAGUCUUACUCCUUUCUAUGGCUGGCUUUGUGUAAAGACAUCACCUUUGUCACUGGCUACUUUUUAUCCUCUCUGGAAAAUGGUCCGAUGCGCUGUCACUGCAUGGCUAAUCAUCUGGAGGCAUCACCGUGAUCAAUGGCUGCGUCCUAUCCUCUCUGUGAAAAUGGUCCGAUGCGCUGUCACUGCAUGGCUAAUCAUCUGGAGGUUCUCGAUCAUACUGGAAUAAGAUUUACUAUCCUUUUGCGUCUGUCACUACGCCCAGCACUCGCGAGUUUGAAGUUCGUCACAGUCAUUCAAUCCCAGAAUCCUACUCGGAAUACCACAGACAAGGUUUAGACUUUCCGGAUUCUCAUGAAUGCCGCCAUCAAUCUAGCUUAUACCACGAAGAUUCUGAUUAAGAGAUCCAAGAGAUACUCAUUCAAUCUAAGGUGGAACGGAAGUGGUUGUCAGGCACGCGUUCGUAGGGGAAUGAUGAUGAUUGUCACGUUCACCACAUUCAGGUUGAAGUACGAAUGAAUAUUAUAGAAGCGGAAUAAGUUGAAUUGAAUAGAAAAACAGUAGUACUUUGCAUUAAUCUUUGAGGAACAGCAGAGCUCCACACCUUAAUCUAUGGAGUGCAGAAACUCUACCGUUGAAAAAUACAUAAGUGAAUAUAGGGUAAGCAUGGCCGAGUGGUCAGCCUCCCAUGGAGGUCUAGAGAUCUAAAAAUGAUCAAAAGAUGUGUAAUACAAUAGUAAAAUGUCCUAUUUAUACUAAACUAGUUACUAGGGUUUACAGAAGUAAGUAAUUGAUGUAUAAAUCCACUUUUGGGGCCCACUUGGUGUGUGCUUGGGCUGAGCUUGAAUGUUACACAUGCAGAGGCUCUUUCUAGAGUUGAACGCCAGGUUGUAAUGUAUUUCUGGCGUUCAAAUCUGGUUUGUGACGUGUUUCUGGCGUUUAACUCCAGACAGCAGCGUAGGACUGGCGUUCAACGCCCUUUUACGUCAUCAAAACUCGGCCAAAGUAUGGACUAUUAUAUAUUGCUGGAAAUUUCUGGAUGUCUACUUUUCAACGCAAUUGGAAGCGCGCCAUUUUGAGUUCUGUAGCUCCAGAAAAUCCACUUUGAGUGUAGGGAGGUCAGAAUCCAACAGCAUCAGCAGUCCUUCUUCUACCUCUGAAUCUGAUUUUUGCUCAAGUCCCUCAAUUUCAGCCAAAAAAUACCUGAAAUCACAGAAAAACACCCAAACUCAUAGUAAAGUCCAGAAAUGUGAAUUUAACAUAAAAACUAAUGAAAAUAUCCCUAAAAGUAACUAGAUUAUACUAAAAACAUACUAAAAACAAUGCCAAAAAGCAUAUAAAUUAUCCGCUCAUCAUAUAUCAAGCAAUUAAACCUGCAAGAGAAUCCAAGCAUACAUCUGUUACAAGGCACGCUUCAAAAGUUUAGUAAGGAAAGCCUUCACAAUCCUGAAAUGAACCAGUUUAUCAUCGAAAAUUAAUGAAGCAUAGAUAAUUAUAAGUCAGUGUUUUGUGAUUAAAAGGAUUACUGUAGAAGAAAAAGGUCAAUGAAGAAACACAUGGAGGAAGUUGUAAGUCUCCAUUUUGACUUUGGAGAAGAAUAUCUUGUUAUAUCAUACUUGAUUGUACUAAAUUUGCUUAGAAUAAAUUAAAUCAUAAUGUGUAUAGUUUGGUCUAAAGUAUGGCAGCAAGCAUUUUAUAUUCUCGUUGUCCCCACAUCAUAAAUAAUAUAAAUUAAAAUGUAGGAGUUAUAUUAUAUAUAAUAUAAUAUUACUUGUAGGAAUUGUUGACUUUGAUUUCAAUUGUAAAUUUUAAUCAACCAUGCAUGAUAUUCAAAUAUCGGUGCUCACCAUCAAGACCAACUCUUAAACCAUUUUGCCUUCUCUUCAAGCAUUGCUUCGUCAGGCUGAGGCACCGUAAAAGCUGGGAUUUGAUCUGGAGUGAGAAAAAUAGAAAAUAUAGAUUAUAAUUGAUGGAUUUAGAAAGAAAGGACAGAUAGAGAAUUAAAAAGGUAUUUAUAUUCAAAACUAAGAGAAAAUAUUUUAAUCUAAACAUACUUUAAAUAUACCAGCCUUCUCACCAGCAAUUUCUUCAAGAGUAUUCCCUGUUAACAGAAUCCAAUAGAAAUAAACUGAAUGAAAAAUAUCAUUGGCGUUGCAGCAUCAUGUUAGAUAUAUUCUGACAAUUCAUGAAUUUUAUAAGGUAUUAUCAAGAAUACAAAGAUUGAAAACUAACCAAGAAUAUUCAUGUGGUCAUUUAGGACUUUAUAUACUGCAUGUAAACAUAUUGCUGUCACCUAAUGUCACCAUAUUGCUGAAUUGAGAACAUAUAAAAAACAGAAUUAAUAAUUUAUAUAGCACAAGUAAUGGUAAUUAAAUAAUCAUGUAUUGUUUUAAUCUAAAUAUGUUUAACUUAAAUUUCCAAAAUCUGCAUGUCUUGUUCCACAUAAUUUUUUUCCUAAACAGUGACACGCCACAAUAGAAUAGAGAAGAUGGUGAAUUAAGAGAACUAACAAGUUGUAUAAUGAAAGAUAUGAAAGAAACUAUUAGGGUUCUAAUUAUUAGCCAAGCUAGACAUAUGAUUGCUUUCCACCAUUAAGGUUCUAAUUAUUAGGAAGAUAAGCAUAAAGGAGACAUCUUAAAGUUUGUCAAUCUAGUAUCAGUACUGAAAGAUAAAUGAACCUUACAAGGGAUGUGUCUAUAUAAUAUCCACUAAAGAAAAAAGCUUGUAUUUACAAGGGACUAAUUAAGGUUAUGAACUACUAAACAAAUAUACUAUAUAUACUGCAUUAUUUUAUAUGGUCCAUGUAUAUUAAGACAAUGGUUAUCACUCACCAUAACCCACCUUAUCAGAAAACAAGUGAAACAAAUAGCUAUGAUAGAUUCAAACUGCAAUAUAAUGUCACAACUAAAUUGAUAUGAAAAAAUUCUUCUGAGAUUUACUUAUUAAAUGAGUAAUUUAUAUAUGACAAAUUAAGACUCAAGUCAAAAUUUGUUGUGAUUUAAGAAAUAAUUACAAGUAUUUAAAUGAGACAAGUAUUCAAAUAAGACAAUGCAGAAACCUCACAUUCCUCCAUAUAGCAAGAAGCCUAAUGCAGCCAUAAAUGACACAACUGAGGAAAAGAAAAAUCUCACUUUAGAAAUUGUAUAUGCAUAAACCAACCAACCAUUCAUACAGAAAGCUAACCUGCAAUAAAUAUCUUUUCGAUGAAUAUCACAAGUGUUGUCAUCUAUCCGAACGUAUAUCCAAAUACAAACCUGAACAGAUAGUCAUAUUUUAGUAUACAUUCCUUUCAGCUCAAAAACUGUAAAAGUAUUUUACUAGCUUCACAUAAUUAUGCAGAAAAUACUUGAUAACAAUAGAAUGAGAUAGGUACCUACCUGAAUAAAAUACAAAGCACCAUUUAUUGAAAUAUAAACUAUAUGACACAUAAAAUAGUUAUAAAAAAGUAGUUAACGUAGCUGAAAGUAGAGUUUAAAACACAUAAAUCAUCUCAACCUUUUAGUGCAUUUGGAGGGAAGGAAAUUGGCUCCGAUAAAGUAGAACAGUUGUUGGAUUUCGGACCACAAAUUAAUGGAUUUCCGACAAUCCUGAAAGUAAAUAAUCAAUCAAGAAAUGAGUACACUAUUUUUUUUGUUAACUUGAAUACAUAGCUAAAGUCAACAUUUAACUAGAAACGCUAAAUGAUCUUACUUUAAUGUUCUUGCUGGUAUUCUUGGCAAGGAACCACUCAGAUUAUUGUAGGAGAAGUUUCUACAUAUAUUUUUCAAUUCAUUACAGUUAGUAUUCAAUUUUAUACCUAGAAAUCAUUAGUUUUAUAAGGAAAAGAUAACAUUAAUGCCAAGGUAACAAAGACCUACACAAGUGUUAAACCUUCUAUGUUGCUUAAAGACUGAGGACACGGUCCUGUAAGGCUAUUAUUAUUCAACCGUCUAGCACCAACAAGAACACAUUAAAUGGAGUAAGAAACCAAAUUUCAUAAGUCCAAAUAGAAAUAAGUAUCAAACACAACACUUUGAACAGUUAGAAUCUGUAAUAUAAGUAACUUACAAAUAAUUCAGGUUCUUGAGGCCUCCCAAAGAAUUCGGUAUCUCGCCACUAAAAUUGUUAUUGGAGAGAUAAAGUGUCUGAAGCUUUUCUAGGCUUCCAAUUGCUGUAGGCUAAUGAAAAUCCAGACAACUUACACAGAUUGUAAGUUAGUAAGCUUUCCAACCCAAGGAGAUAGAGUACCAGACAAGUUCUGACUAGGCAUUCCCUUGAUAUGAAAAGAAAAGAUCUUUAGAAGAAAGAAAAAAUAAUUCAAACUACUCAAAUUUGUUUGGUUCAUUUUCUUAUAUAAAUAUCUUGAAACUUGUUUGCUACUUUCAUAAAACACUUCAAAAUCUAAACUUACAAUACUAAAACAGAGCCAUCAAGGUUACAAGUAAUCAUCCUCCAACUGCAAGGAUCAACAGAAUUACUAUCCUAAUUCUCCAGGACAUUGUGGGAUCAUUCAAUUCAUUCUUUAUCGCCAUCAAAGCUAGAACUGUUCAGUGAAGAAACGGAAAGAAGGGUAAGAACUAAAACCUCCCAUCAAUUAAUUCACUUGAGAAUAUGCCACUAUGUAACAGGUAAUUAGGAAGUACUUAAGAGUUAAGAUUCUCAAGGCAAAAAAGAAAAAGAAAUAACAAGUCAGAGAAUAGCAUCAUCAUCAAUUUUUCAGCUAUCAUUCCUAGUAAUUUCCAGCAUAAUUAACUUGACCAAAGAUCAAAAUGAAAAAGGGAAGCGGGGAAGAAAAUUAAAGAAAAGGUUAACCUUCAUAGUUUAUGCCAGAAGGAGAAAGAACAGCAGCAGAAAUCUCCAUCAUCAACAGAAGAAGUGAACAUAACAGCCAUGAAACCAAUCUGCUUUGUUCCAUGCUGUAUUCUCAAUUCAGUAACAAUGCCUUCCUCCACACACAACAAAAAAAACCACACAGAUUACAAAUUUUUUAACUAUAUGGACUUAUUUGAAAAUUGGUUACUAUCCAAACCAAAUAUUAUUCUAUCGUAUAUAUGCAGAAGGAUUUAAGUAGAGACAAGCUUGCCUUGGUUAGCUUUAUCAUCAGUAACAAAAUUUGCCUUUCUUCUGAUGGCUUUAUCACCAAUAGAAAAAUUGAAGGUGAUUCAUUAGUAAGACAUAUGGAAUAGAAGAAUUGCAGCUAACAAAGCUCUAAGCAGAUCUCAAAGUUCAACCCUUGUAAAGCAUAAUCCAUAAUCGUAUUCUCUUAGAAGGAUCACUAUCACACUGCAGCAAGAAGCAGUAGCAAAAGAAAAAAGAUAGUGCAGUGAAAGAGGAAACACCAAAAAUUGAAAAACCAUGAGAAAAAAAGUUUCAACAAAAAAUUUUAAAUCAAACUAAUUACUAAAAUCAGAAAAAACAAAUCUAACUAAACCUAAUCUAAUCAAAACCUAAAAAUCCACUAAUCAGAAAACAAAUCUAACUAAACUAAUUACUAAAAUCAAACUAACUAAAAAAAUUAAUUGAACUUAACAGAAAUUAAAAGAAUUUUGAAACCAAAACCUGGAAGCAUUGACUGGAGGAGAUGAUGGCUGCGGCGCUGAGAAAAUAUGCGAACCAGAACUGAGUGGGGAUAAAAGGAGAGAGAGGCGCGGCGGUGGUGAGGACAGACGCUGCUACAGGUGGCACCAGCGUGCUGGAGCUCACCUGAGACGAAGAGAAUAGGAGCUUGAGCUUGAUUUGUUCUGCGAACGAGAAAGAACGAGAGAGACAGGGGCUGUGUUCCACUGGUUCAGUGUUUAAAAGAGAGAAGAAGAAGGAGAAGGUAGCUGCGGUGGUUAGGGUGGCGGCGGUGGCAUUGUGAGUGAGGAAAGGAGAAGAAGAAGCUCGUGCGACGGAGAAGCUCGUUGAAGGAGAGAGGAACAACUCGUUUGAUCUGUGAUUUUUUGUGCGUGAAAGGAGCUCCAUAGGGUGGGGGUGAAGUUAGGUUUAAAUUAAAAUUUUCCGACGAAAAAUUUUAAAUUACAGACGAAUUUUCUAUCUGUAAUAAUUUAAUAAAAUGCAGUAUUUUUUUCUAUUUAAUUACAGACGGAUUUUCCGUCUGUAACCAUUUCCCACAAAAAAAAUUAAUUUUUGCGACAGAAUUAUCGACAGAUUCUUUUUUUCGUCUGUAAUUUAUGCUAAUUCAUUUUUUUGUUUUUUGACAAAAAAUUCCUCUGAAAUUCUGUCUGUAUUUCUGUGGGAUAAAAUUCGUCGGAAAUAUCCGUCUGUAAUAACUAGUUUUCUAAUAGUGAUAAGUGUAGAUGCACAAAAUAUAAAGAGCUAAACAUUAUUAAAAUGCAUCUGUGGGAAAAAGAGGUUUAUGCUAAAUUAUUGGAUUUGGAUAGAAUAUGGAGAGAUUGACAACAUAGAGAUUAAUCACAUAGGAUUAAUUAGAGUGGAUAAUAACAUAAUUUAAGUGAUAUUAGAUCUUAUUUAAUAGACAUCUAUUUAUGCAAAAAAAAAAAUUAUUUUGUGUUUUAUGUAAAAUAGAAAAAGUAGUUGGACCAUACAUCAACCUACCAGAAAAUUUUUAAGAAAACUUACACACUUAAAAAUGACAAAUCUAAAUGGGUGGACAAACGCUCUCAAAAUACUCAUGUUCAUGUGAGAUAUAAUAUAAAUAUUAAAUUAUUAAUUAAUUAAAUGUUAUAUAAUGUAUAUAUGUUACCUUGGAUUCUGAAGAAAUUUUUAGACACCUACCACCUUACUACGUCCCUGCUGAUCUCAAUAAUCUCAUAUUUAUUAACUGAUUAUUAAUAAUAUCCAUCUAUCAAAUCAAGUCAAGUACGAACAACAUAUUAUAAACUUAUUAUAAACUAAUGAUUAUGGAUCUCACACAAUUAGUGGAUUGAUUUGAGUGGAGAGCAAGAAGUGAAAAAAAAAAUAGUAAAAGAAUAUUAAUUAAAUGAGUGGAGAGAUAAUUGACAUCAAAGAAAGAGAAGGUAAUUGAUUUCGUAUCCCAUAAUAAAACCUAUCUUCUUCUGAAUUUGAUGUAAUUUUUUUUUUCCAGCAAAUUGUAUUUGAUAUAUGCAUAGAAAUAUACAUGUUUAUGGUUUAUCUCAUUACUAAAUCUAAAGUGAUAAUAGAAAUAUUUAAAUAAUUUUUUAGUAGAUAUAAUAGAAUUUGUUUAGUUUAAUCAUUUCAUCUCUCAUUCAAUAAAUAUUUUUAGAUUGAAAUCAUCAAGUCAAAAUUACCAUAUUAUUGUGAAAUAAUAUACUAUAUUGUUUGAAACUUAAUUUAUAUAAUUGAUAUAAUCAUUGUGCAACAGGAGAAGUUUAUAAAAAAGUUGGCAGAAAUUCCGGCCCAACAUGCCGAGACUCGAGCACAGGAAAUGGAGCUACUACUGUAAGAUCCCAAAUUUUUAAAAAUUAUUAAUAAAUUAUUUAUGAUCUAUUAUAUUUAUUUAAGAUUAUAUUUUUAGAAAUUUUACAUAUAAGUUGAGUAAUUUUUUAUUUAUUUUUAGAGUUCUUAUAAUUGAAAAAUAGUGAAUAUUUUUAUAUGCCUUAAUUUUAAAUAUUUAGAUUUUUAACCUUAUUUUAUAAAUAAAAGAGAAUUAAUCUAGUUAUCAUCAAUUUUCAUUGAAUUAGUAUUUAUUCGAAAAUAGAUUUCAAGUUGAUAAUAAUAUGGUAUUUCAAAGAUGAUUAUUACAUAUUUAAUUUGAAUUUAAAUUAUUACUCUAUACUUUAUUUUUAUUAAAAACUACUACCUUAUCUUAAUCUCUAAAAUUCUCAAUUUCAUUACAUAACACAAAUCCUAAUUUACCUUCAUUAACCUAAACCUUAACCCACUCACCUCUACCACCCCCACACCCCACACCCUACACGGACACAAACACACAAAACACACACACACACAAAAACCAAAAAAACACACACACACACAGUUCCUGUAAGGAAAGAAAGAAAGAAAAGAAAAGAAAGAAGAAAGAAGGGGAAGGGAGAAGAAGGAGAUCCGAGAAAGGGAGGGAGUGCCGGUGGAAAGGGAAGACGCGCCGGUGCUGGUGGGUCGUGCCACCGCUGUCGCUGCGCCCUACCUAGUUGACGCCGCCGCUGCUGUCUGCGAGGUCGUCUCCGUCACGGAUCAGAACUGAGGUGAGAGAGAGAGACUGACGGGAGGGCGUGCGCGCAAGAAGGGGGAAGGCAUCACGAGGAGCGUCGCACCGCCGCUGCUGUCCGUGCCGUCGCCGUCGCUGUUGGUCCACCUUGGAGUCGCCGUUGAAGUUGAGCCGCGGAGAGAGAGAGGGUUCGAGAGUGAGAGAGGGCUGCGGGCCUGGAACCGCCGCGUCCAGCCGUCGCCGCUUGCUUCGUCACCGCUCCUAGAGGUGGGUGGCUAAACCUCUGCCGCCUGAGCUCCACGUCACCUCUGCCGCCUAAAACCCCGCUGCCAUCGCCAGAAAACACUGCCGGUAAGGUUUUAAGUAUUGGGUCUUUCGAGUUCUGGAAAUGUUACAAUUACUCCAUGUUGGUUUCAGUUGCUGUCGCCAGAAUCCGGUCGCCGUUGUCGCAUGAGGUUGCUGCCGGGGCCAUUGCCAAACCGGUUCAGAGACCGCCGCUACUUCGUUUUCGUAUUACAGUAAGUAUUUCUGUUUUGGAGACCAGUGUUAGUGUUUUGUUACGUGUAUUAAAGUCUUUGUGACAUUGAUGCUUUUAGGAAUUAGAAAUCGAGUUUGCAUGUUGCGUUUGGGGCUGUUCUGUUAUUGAGAAAGCAAGCGGAGCUGAAGUUUCGGUUGCCGUUGAUUUCGGGCUGAGCGAAAAGAGUUCAAUCGACACAUUUGGGUUAUGGUUUUGCUUAUCGAGGUAGGGGCUUUUUUCAAAAACUAAACUUUAUAUUUCGGAGUUGCUAUAUAUAGAUUUUGAUGUGAAAAAUGUGCUUUUAGUGAUUGUAUAAGUCUUAUGUAUUGUUUGGUUGUCUUGGAUGGAUAUGAAUGCUUGUUUGACCGGAUUGUUGUUGGGUCUUGUGAAAUAGACUGUUUUUGAAAUGUUUCUUUAAAGUUAUUUCUUCUAAAGUUUUUUAAUGGAGUUUAAUCCAUUGGAGAUUGAUUUGAGUUUGAGUUGGUUUUCUAGAAAUAUGAAAAUGGUAUGCACUUUUGGAUUCAGCUUGAUUGUGAACUGAUUUGGUUUUGAACCCGUUAAAGAAGGUUGCGAAAUAGUUUGGUUGGGACCCAAAAAGAAUGGCAAAAUCCAAGUUUUAGGGGAGAUGCUGCCGAAUUUUUAUGAAAUUUAAGAUUUUUUUUAAAAUGUGAUUUAGAAAAGGAAUGAGUUUGAGAAGUUCUAUUAUUUGGUUCUUGAUUUAUUAAGAAAUAGGUGUUUCGAGUUUAAUUUAUUUAAGAAAAGUUUAUGUUUUAAGAUUGAUUUAAAUAUGAAAGAACCUAUGUUUUGAAGUUUGAUUAAUUAAAGAAGUACCUUUGGAGAAGUUAUAGUGGACUUUUAAAAGAAAUUGAACUUUGAUUAAUUAAAUUCGUUUUGCUUUCGAAGUAUUCUUUAAAUUUUGAUUUAGCAAGACUAAACACUUCCAAGUCUUGGAAAGGUUUCCGAUUUAAGAAUAAAAUGGAAUUGGCUUUUGGGCUUAAAUAAUUUUGGUUUUGAAAGUGGUUCAGAACUUUUCGCGUACAUGCCUUGGUUUUGGUUUUAAAUAUUUAUUUUGAUCGAUUUCAAUUCAAGUAACUAUGAUUUCAAGUAUUUCUAAAAAUAUUUAAGAAAUGAGGUAGUUUAUUCUUUCCUAAAGUCAUGAUACCUUGUUAUGGAUUUUAAUUAAUAGCUUUUGAUUUCAAAGUGAUGGAGCGAAUGGUUUGAAAAUGAAUGAUUUUAAGUCUUUUAGAAGAGAUUUUGAAUUUGACUUGGUUUUGAAGUUGCUUGGAAGUUUUGAAAAGAAGAUUUACUUGAGAAAAGUGGUUCUUGGCAAGAUGUGAACUGAAUACGUUUGUGAUUUGAAAGUAAGUGAGCCAAGAAUGACUAUUGUAAUGAGAUUUUGAGUUUGAUUGACUGUGGAUAUUGCUAAGAAUAUGAUGAGGUUUUUUUUUGCCUGGCAAGGAUGGUGGUAUAAUCCUGCUUGCUCAGUGCGUAAACCGUUAUGCAGGGAUGGUGGUUUUAUCCCGCCUGCAGUAAGGAUGGUGGUUUUAUCCCGCUCAAGUAUUGAUAAAUUGUUGGCAAGGAAGGUGGUUUAAUCCCGCUUGCGUGUUCCAAGCAAGGAUGGUGUUUAAUCCCGCUUGUUUAUGGAACCUACGGAUAAGGAUGGUGGUGUAAUCCCACUUAUCCGAGUCGGGUCUGGCAACAUAACCGACACGUGAGCUCAUGGUCAAUAGGACAGGCAUGCAUCAUAUGCAUUUAUAUGACAUUGUUUAGGUGCGCAUAUUGUAAUUGGUUUGCGUAUGCGAAUAAUUAUAUUUAAUUGCUCUACUUGAUGUAACUGCUUGAUUGUGUUUGAACCUUCUUACUUGUGUUUGUGACUGAAAAUUGGUUGGAUUGUGGUGAGUUGGAUGUUGAUUGAGUUGUUUGGGCCUGAAGUCGUGAUUGAUUAUGUGAUGGGCCGGAGGCCGUGAUUAGUUUGAGUUUUUGGUUUAGUAAAGUAUGAAAAAUCAAACUGGUUCAGUAUAGAUGUAAUGAACCUAUACUUGGAACAGCGUGGUCAUUCAUACUGUCUAGGAAAAACUUUUAAGUUUUGAUACAAAUGGUUUUGGGUAUUUAAGAAUAAACGGAUUUCUCUUCUAAAAAGGAUUUCAGAUCUUUAAAUGUAAACCUUUGGUUUUUGAAAUGAUACAUAAGGCGAACAACGGUCACUGUACUCGGAAAACAGAUUUAUUUCAUGUAUCUUAUUAUAGCCAUUCUAUAACCUUAUAGUGAGAACCCUUUCGAGGACAAUGUUCUCACUCCCUUACAAGUCUUUUGAUUUUUUAGGUCCUGGACGACGAAGUUUGGAAGAGCUUAUAUUUUCUGUUUAAUCGAUGUUUUAUGUUGUAUUAGUUACUUUUUUCCUCACCUUUACUUUUACAAGUUUUUAUAAGAGGGAUAGGACUUUGAUUAUGUAAUGCUUGUAAAUUAGUAAUAUGUAUAUAUAUAUAUAUUCUUUAUGAGUAUUGUAGUUUUUAUUUUAAAUACGGAUGUAUGUCUUGAAAGUUUGAUUUAAGUUUUUUUUAAACAGGCUCAUAUUUCAGUAUUAAAUAUUUUAAGAGUCGUCGUAAUACCCGAGCUAUCAGAGUGACGCAUCCGGAAGCGCGACAUUUUGAUAGUUAUGGUAUUACAACCACCAAUUGAUGAAGACUUGAUUUGGGAGGAAGUGUGUGGUAGAUAAAAGAAGAAUCGAGUUUACGAAAAAGGGACAUUCUUUUCUAGUUCUAUCAAGUCUAGAACCACUUCUGCCAAUUCUGUAUCUCGAAGAGCAUCUAGAAAUCAAAAUUUCACUUCUGAUUUGUGAGAACAGAUUCAUAAUCUCAAUGAAGAACUUUUUCAGCGUGUUACUCAACAAACAAAUGAGCGUAUUAGUAAGUUGUUUGAUACAUGCUUGGCUCCUUUGGAUAAGACUCAAAAUAAGUUAGAAAAGUUAGAACAGGCAAUUGGAAAGGUCAAGAAGGAAAAGAUGAAACAGAAGAGAUGGAAUGAGGCUUAUGUUAGCUAUUACGAGAAGGUUAGAACAUCAAGUAGUUCCAGUGUUGUUCCACUACCACUGCCACCGCCGCCACCCUCAAUCUCUUCGAGUGAGGACUACGAUAAUGAUGAGGAUGAAGAUGACACUAAAGACUAUAGCUGGUAGUUUUAGUAUGGUUGAACAAUAUACUGAGAAUUAUAGCUGAUGUAUCAAUACACUUCGUUUAUGUUUUGAAUUAUAUUGACUUGCUUGUUUAUAAUACUUUUCUUUUAGUUUGAUAAUACGAUGAAUUUGUUAAUUUUUUGAAAUAUUAUAAAUAUUCGAAUACAAAUUUGAUAAAAUUUGUAUUUAUUAAUUUUAUAUUUAUUUUGUAUGAAAACAUAUUUAUUUUGCAAUAGAAAAAUCUAAAAAAAAAAUUCUAUUUUACCUUACAGACGGAUUUUCAGUCUGUAUUCAGAGUUUGGAAUGAUUUUCCAAGGUUCCAAUUACCGACGAAAAAUCUGUCAAAAAAUCUGUCUCUAAUUACCGACGAAAAAUCCUUCAGAAUAUCUGUCUCUAAAUACCGACGGAAAAUCCAUCGAAAAAUCUGUCUCUAAUUACCGACGAAAAAUCCAUCGAAAAGUUUGACGUUCCAGGGAAAUGGAGGAGAGAAUUUACCAAGAAAAAAUCUAUCAAUAACUGGUAAAAAUAUGUCGGUAAAUUACCGAUGAGACUUUUACUGAAGGACAAAAUCUGUCGGUAACCGAAAAUUUGUCGGUAAUAAAGACCAAAUCUGUAUGUAAAUAUAUCUGUAUUAAGCAUUUUUUAGUUGUAUAAGUACAAAAACCUAAUUUUUAUAUAAUAGAAGAGAUAAUAAAUAGAAUAGAUGAGAAUAUGAUAUGUGACAUAUUUUAAUUAUAAAAUUGAUAAUAUAUAAUAGAUUUUUUUAUGAAUUUUUAUUGCUUGUUAGCUGUUAAUUUUUACGUUAUUGCUUAAUAAUUUUCACUUAUGAAACUAUCAACAUCCUAAUAUUAUAGUUUAGUUAAUAAGAAUGAUGACGUUAAUAUUUCUCCCUAAGUCUUGUUAUUAUUUAUAAUUAGAAAAGAAUCAUAAAUAAAUUUAUUUUUUUAAAUGAAUGCUAAUUUUGUUGUGUAAGACCCAGAAAUUUCGGAAAAUCUUAUUAAAAACUAAUUUUGACUUAUUUACUCGUUAAGUAAUUUAAUCUCAGAAAAUUAUUUUAUUAAAGAUAAUUAAAACAAAUUUUGAUUAUUUUAAAUUAUAAAGUUUAGCAAAUUGAUAAUCAAAUAAUAUUUUUAAAAUAAUUUUAUGAAAUUAAAUUAAAUUUUAAUUAAUACUCUAUACCUUAAUUUAAUUAAAAUUACCAAAUUCUAAUUUAUCAAAAAUCCCUAAUUUCACAUUUUCCCCAAAAGCAAAUCCUAAUUCCAAAUUAAAAACCCUAACCCUAACCUCCUUAUCCCCACCGCCAUGCCUCCACAGCUACCACUCACCCCUCCCUUUUACCCUUUCUUCUUCAAUAAAGACAAACACACCCACACCCUCCUAUGUUUCCUUCAGCAGCCGCCAUCCCAUUUCCCUUCCCCCUCCCCCCUCUUCACUGAGUGCACAUACAUCACCAUCAAGAGAGAGAUCCGGAGAAGAAGCAACUACCAUCGCACCGCCCCACGCCCUGGAGCUCGCCAUCGAACCAUGCGUUGCUGCUAUGGGCUCGCCGCCGUCGAAGUUCCGUCGCCAACCAUGGAGCCGUGAGAUGCAUCGCCGUCGAGAGAGAGCAUCACGCUGAGGGAGAACCAACCGGAGAAAGGGAGAGGCGUCGUGUCUACUGCGAGCCCGCUGCUUAAGGAAGCAGUUGCCAUCGUCACCCUUAUCGCGACCUGUCACCGUCACUGGAGCCAGCCAUCUUCAUCGCCGUUCAUGCCGUCACCGUUCCUCGCCACUGCUGAGCCGUCGUCGGGCUGUGCACCGCCACGUAGGGCCAUUUCCAAUUGGCGCCGUGGCUGGUGGUUGCCUCUGCUUUCGGUGUAAGCAUCCCGUCGGAGCUCAGUCACCGUUCUACUCUCCGGAAGUUGUCACCGGAGCUGCGACUGCUCCGGUCUUGGUUCCUUGUUAUGCAGUAAGUUGUUUCAGCUCCGAAAACCUCUUUUCCUUUGUCGUUGUUCUGUUAUAGAUUUUGAGUUUUACGCGGCGUUAAUGUCUUAGGGUUAAGCUACGGUCCUUGUGUGCUGUGUUUAGAGGUUGUGACUGUUGCGAGGAUGGUCGGAUUUGACGCUGCUGCUAUGAAUCAAAGUUUUAAGGGUUUUGUCGCGUAGUUAGUUGCGAACGAGGUAGGGGUCUUUUUCAGAAAACUAUACUUUAUAAAUUGGAAUUAUUAUAUAUGGAUAUUUAUGUGAGAAAUGCACUUCUAAUGAUUGUAUAUGUCUUAUGUAUUGCUUGAUUGACUUGGAUGGAUAUGACUGCUUGUUUGAUUGGAUUACUGUUUGGUUUGUGAAACGGACAGUUCUUGAAGCAUUUCUUUAAAGUUGUUUCUUUACAGUUUUAAAAUUGAGUUUAAUCCGUUGAAAAAUGAAGUCGUUUCUUGAAAUAUGAAUUUUUGAAAUUAGUCUGAUUUUAAACUGAUUUGGUUUUGAGCCGUGGAAGGGGCUACAGAAUGGUUUGGUUGGGACUCGAAAAGGGUGGCAAAGUCUAAGUUUUAGGGAGAUGCUGCUGAAUUUUCAUGAAAAUUAAGAUUCUGUUUUAAAAUGUGAUUUACAAAAAGAAUGAAUUUGAGAGGUUCCAUUGCUUGGUUUUUUAUUUAUUAAGAAAUAGAUGUUUCGAGUUUAAUCUGUUUUACGGGAAGUUUAUGUUUUAAGAUUGAUUUAAAUAUGAAAGAACCUAUGUUUUGAAGUUUGAUUAAAGAAGUACUUUUGGAAGUAUUUUUAGUGGAUUUUAAAAGAAAUUGAACUUUGAUUAAUUAAGUUCGUUUUGCUUUUAAAGUACUCUUUAAAUUUUGAUUUAGCAAGACUAAACAAUUCCGGGCUUUUGGGAAGGUUACCGAUUUAAGAAUGAAAUAGAAUUGAUUUGAAACUUAGUGUUUUAAACAUGCUUUGGUUUUUGUUUUAAGUCUAUCUCAAUUGACUUCAAAUUAAGUAACUAUAAUUUCGGGGAUUUCUAAAGAAUUUAAGAAAUGAGGUAGGCUAUUCUUCCCUAAAGUCUUGAGUCUUUGCUAAGGUUGUUAAUUAAUAACUCUGAUUUAAAAUAGUUAAACAAAUGAUUUUAAAAGUAAAGGAUUUGAAUCUUUUCAAAAAGGAUUCCCAUUUGAUAUGGAUUUUUUUUAAGAAAAUGUGGAUUAUGAACUUGGAAUAAUUUGAGACAUGAGGAUUUUAGAGUUAAGACUGAGAUGGAUUGACUUUGGUUUCAAAGUAAAGAGAUUUGAGAAAAAGUGACUUAAGGCUUGAAUGAUGAUUGAUUUGAUAUGAAUUGUAAUAAAGUGCGAAAAUGAUAAUGAAUAAAUGAAUAUGUGACCCUUGCACUUCUUUUAUCUGAGAUACGAGUUUUUCUGGGUAAAGUGUCGUGGCUCGCCACCACGUGUUCCAGGUUGAAACUCGAUACUCUGUUGACCCUACGACGUAAGGGUGGCCGGGCACGUAUAAAUUCCCGGGAAUGGUAUCCCUAUUAAGCGAUUUGAUAUAUAUAUAUAUGAGAAAAAGCUAUGCAUAGACUCAUGGGGAUGCGCGUCAGGGAACAGUCCAAGAGUUUAGCAAACCGGACUUGUUGGAUUGGCUUGAUAACCGACAGAUGAGACUCAUCAGCCAUAGGGCAGGCAUUCAUCAUAUGCAUCUAUGCGACAUUAUUUGGGUGUGCAUAUUGUAAUUGGUUUGCCAAUGUGAUUAUGUUUAAUUGCUAAUUGCUCUACUUGAUGUAACUGCUUGAUUGUGAUUGAACGUUCCUAUUUGUGUUUGUGACUAAAAAUGGGUUGGAUUGGCUGUUAUUUGAGUUGUUUGGGUCUAGGACCGUGGUUGGUUAUGAGAUGGGCCGAAGACCGUGCUUGGUUUGUGUUUUUGGUUUAGAAAAGUAUAAAAACCUAAACUGGUUCAGCAUAGACUUAAUAAACCUAUGCUUAGAAUAACUUGGUCAUUUAUGCUAUCUAGGAAAAACUUUAAAAAGGCCUUUGGAUUUUAUUUUUAGAAUUAACAGCUUUCUAUUUUAAAAAGGAUUCCAGAUUUUGUUUGAAUAUAAAUCUUGGGUUCUGUAAAAAUACAUAAGGCGAUUAUUAAUCACUGUUUUUUUAAAAAUGGUUUUAUUUUUCAUGUAUCCUAUUAUAAUAAUUCUGUAACCCUAUGUAAGUAUUGAUAUUUGUAUGGAUGUAAGUUAUCUAUUUAAAAGUCUUCUGAGCAGUAAUUCAAUUUAAGUUAGUUUUUAUACAGACUCAUAUUAUAGUAUUAAAUAUUUUUAAGAGUCGUCGUAAUACCCGAGCAAUCAGAGUAGCAUAUCCGGAAGCGUGACAUUUUAAUAGUUAGGGUGUUACAUAUUGUGAAAUUUUAUAUUACCUUUAAAAUUUUAGCGUAAUUGAGUCUAAUUCUUACAUUUUAAAAGAAAUUUAUUCGAAAAAAUUAAAAUGUAAAUUACAUUAUUAUUACAAAAUUACUUUAUUAACAUAAUUAGUGGUGCUUACUUGAACAAUUAAAUUUAGCUUCUAAUGAUAUUAAAGUCAACAUAUUUUAUUGUCUUGUGUCUUCAAAGAAUUCACAAGACUGUCAUAAAAAUCAAACAAUUGAGAAAUAAAAUUUAUUACAAUCGGUAUAUUCAUUUUAAUAGAUAUUUUUUUAUCCAAUACUAUAAAAAAUACACUUGCUACCUUGAAUUAUUACAUGUUUAACUUCUAUCGAUAGUGGUAGAAUGCUAAAUUGAGAUCUUUUUGGGCUAUAGUAUUCGUCAAACAAACAAUCAAUGAAACACUCAUCUGUGCCUUCUCAUUUUGAGUAUAUUUAUAUAUAAAAGAAAUUCUACAUAAAGAAAAAAAAAAGAAGAAGAAAAUAAUAGUUGAAAUAGCAAGAGCAAUAAAAAUGAUAAUUCUUAUAAUUUUGUGUGGCCAUCUAUAUAUAGUAAACCGAAAGACCAUGGUUAUCUAACGAAAUUAAUUUGUAGAUAAGAAAUUUGUAUUUAUUGAAUUCAAUUUGAAUAAGUAAAAAAUUAUUUUAGUUUAAUAUUCUUUAAUUCACAUGAUUUGAAUUUGUAUGAAGAGAAAGAAAAGCUUCAUAGAGAGAGAAGAGAUGCUUUAUUGAUGUAUUUCUAUCUUUCAGAGCAAACCCCUAUUUAUAUACAAAUAAGGGGUCAACUUUUUAAACUCAAUUAAUUACACAAUUUCUCUUGAUAUUCUUAAUAGCAUAGAGAAAUGGUCAUCCACCUCAUACCCACUUCAUACUUAUCACAACAAUUAAUUAUGAUUCCUUUUUUUAAAAUAUUAAUUGUAUAUGUUUUUUUAAUUAUGUUAUAGUUUUUAUAAUUACGUGAAAUCUAAUUAUUUUGAUUUAUUUAUUAGAUAUGUUUUAAUAAAAAUUAAAGACAAUAACUGUAAAUAUAAUUAAUGGCUAUUAAAUGCGAUUCGAAUCCCAACACUUACUUUAACAGACUAAUAAACUAACUACUAGACUAACCCAAUUUAAUUUUCUUAAUAAUUAAUACUUCAAUUAUAUAUAUAUAUAUACACAUAUAUACACAACAAUGAUUUUAGAGAGAGAGAGAGUGAUAUAAUUAUCCAAACAUCAAUGGAUCUUUGUGCUAGAAGCAUUUUCGUGCCAUGGCUUCUUCUUCUUCUUAUGGUUCAACUAUUAUUAUUUUGUAGCGGCGCAAUAACACCAAAAAUACAUGUGGGCAUAACACAAAAGAUACACGUGACCAUCCAAAAUUAUUUGGAAGGCCAUCAAGACUUAACAAUUCAUUGCAAAUCCAAAAAUGAUGAUCUUGGAGCGAAGCUUGUAAAGUAUAUGGAUACAUAUGAGUUUAAUUUCAGUCUUAAGUUAUUUGGUGGCACACUUUUUUUUUGUAGUUUUCAAUGGCCAGGUGUGUGUCAUCGGGUCGACAUAUAUGAUCAAGAUAGAGAUCAAGGAAACUGUAAACAAUGUAUUUAUAAAAUACAUGAAAAUGGACCUUUUAGAUAUGCACCAAAUAAUAAUACAUAUAUAAGGUUUCCAUGGAAACCAGAUGGAUGUUGAUUUUCUUGUUUUAAAUAUUUUGAAUGAUGAAUUAUAAGAACAUCAUUACCUUUGAUAAAUAAAUUUCUAUUGAAAUAAAAUUGAUGUUGAAAUAAGUGGUAUUAUUUUAUUUACUUUUUAUUUUGUCUUUUUUUAAGUUUUGGUUUAGAUUCGGUGAUCGUUUUUUCUAUUCUUCUUAAGAGUAACUUUUAGUUUUAUUUGGAUAAAGAAUUAUUUUUAUAAUUACAUUUAUUUAACGAGAAUAAUGUAAGAUUAAAUAUUAAUGUUAAAUACAAAUUUAAAAUUAUCACGAGCGUAUUAUUUAUGAUUUUUCAAACAAAUAAAGGUGAUAACGAGACGGAUAAGGAUAGAAUUUUGUGCUACUCAACCCACCACAUCUUAUAAUAAUCCGUAUAGAAUCUGCUCCAUUUUUAUUUGUGAAUAAUAAAAAAUUGAAUCAUAAUCUAUUCUCAUGGUCCAAAGGAUUUGAUGGUCCCAGGACGUUGGGACCAUUAAAUGGUCUCAUAACAAAAUAUUUUUUUAAGUUUUUUAAUAAUUACUAAAUAGUCCUUAUUUAAUUUUAAUUAUAAAUUAGUUUUUUAUAUAUUAUUUAAUUAUAAAAUCUAUUUUUUAUUUUAUAAAUUAUUUUUUUAUCAUUUAUCUAUCAUGUUUAUUGAGAAUCAAAAACUAAAACAAUAAUAAAUUAGAUCUUCCAUUAAUCGUAAUAAAUAUUUUACAAUCUUAAUGAUCAUAAUUUUAUCAUUGAUCCAAUUACAUAGGUAUUAGGUUGGAAAAAUCGUGUUUGUUAAAAAUUCAAUCAAUUGGAUGCACAAACCAAUCGAUUGAAAUUCAGGCUUUCCAAAUGGGAUUUUUGAAAAUUAUUAUUUUCGAAAAUUCCAUUUGAUGAUUGAAUUAACUAAACCCACAUUGCUUUGAUGAUUUCAAUCGAAUGGGUAAUAUGACCAAUCGAUUGAAUAAGAAAAAUCGCACAUGCCUUGCAAAAUUCAAUCAUUAAAGUUUGAGAAGCCUGAAUUUCAAUCAAUUAAUUUGUGCAUCCAAUCGAUUGAAUUUCUAAAAAACAUUAUAUAUUUUUUCAAUCCAAUACGUAUGUAACUAGAUUAAUGAUAAAAUUUUUAUUCUAAAUUUUUUAAUUAUUUUUAUUUGAAAAGAAAAUUUUGAAUUUAAAAAUAUAAAAAAAUUAAAAAUAAAUAAUUAAUUUGAAAAUAAACAAUUAAAAACAGAUAAUUAAUUGAAAAAUAAACAAUUAAUUAAAUUUUCUUUUUUAAAAGUAAUGUAUUGCUUACUUAAAAUAACUUUUUUAACAAAGUUCAAACGGGCAUUGAAUAUCCAUGUUUCCUAUUGUCCUUAAAACCAUGUUUUCUACUUAACUCCUUAAUUAGAACUAUAGAGAUAAUUGUGAUGGAAUUAACUUAACUAUUUUAAGAAAUUCCCAUCAUUGAUUAAUUAAUUAAUUAAUUGCAGGUUAUGAAGAUGACAAAACAAAGUCACUUCAGCCUACCUCUUCUGCUCUUGUAGCCUUUAAUUCUUUAUGCAAAUUCGUAUAAUCUUUGCCAUCAUAGACUCGGCCAUUGUGCCACAAAAACUCUAGUUUCUGUUAUGAAUAAGUGUAAUGUCCCUGUUGCUAUAAAUUCAAUAAAAUCUAGUUUGUGUGACUCAUGUUGCAAAGCUAAAAUGCAUGAUCUUCCCUUUUUUUUUUAGAUUCUUUUAAUUUUAUAGCAUUAGCACCUUUGAAAAUGAUUUAUUCUGAUUUGUGGGGACUUGCACCAAUUUGUUCUUAACAUGGCUUUAACUAUUUGUUGAUGCUUUCACCAGAUUCACUUCAGUUUUGUUAUUACAUUCAAAAAGUCAAGCUUUUCUUCAAUUUCAAACAAACAUUGGGACACAUACAGGUUUAAAAAUCAAAUCACUUCAAAGCGAUCAUGGCAGAGAGUACCUCUUUCAUUCAUUACUCACCGAUUCUCUUGCCUUUACACCCACCAGCAAAAUGGCAGCAUCUUGAAGUACAAGGUUCACCUUGUUACAAAGAGAAAUCAUCAGAUUGAGGGAGUGGAUUAUGACCAAUAGUGUUUGCACCUGUUCUUAAACAUAUUACUAUUAGAGUUCUUAUUACUUUAGCAAUGACUUAUAAGUGGAAAAUUUGUCAAUUUGACUUCAAUAAUGCUUUAAUUCGGGUACAUCUAUUCAGGUUUAUCAACUUCAAAAAUUUUCUUAUGGUUUAAAACACUAGAUACCUUUAGUUUUGUGAAAAUUAAAUCUGAUCAUUGCUUGUUUAUGAAACAUGAUGGCAAUCUAAAAUUAUAUAUUCUAGUAUAUGUAGAUGAUAUUUUGAUUACAUGAAGUGAUCCAAAUCCCAUUCUCCAUAGUCGCACAAAGCAUUUUGAGCUUGAUCUCAAUUUUAUUUAUGAAAGAGUUACCCAACAAAAGUUGAAUGUGGCGCUUAUAUCUCUGAUGAUCAAGUUGCUCAUAUAUUCACUAAGGCUUUGUCAAUGAUCAACUUUAAAAAAUUCAGAACAAAACUUAAUAAAAUAACUCUAAAGAAGUGACUUUAAGAUUGAGGGAGACUAAUAGAGCAAAUGAUUAAAGAAUUCAAGAUCAAAGAUCAAGAAGGAUUUGUUACCACUGUAGCUAGUAGUUUGUAACAGAUUAACAGCUUUGCAUUUCUAUAUAUUGUACUUGAUAUAGUUAUGAGAAAGAUAAGCUUACAUCACUACAACACUAUAUAUAAUCCCAUAUAUGAAUUUCAAUUUAGUUUCUGAUCCAUAUCGAAAUACUCGGCUUCCAUAAGCUUUGACCGAGUUUAACCAUAAACAGAAAAUGUCGGAUUUGAAUUCUCCAAACUAACCGAUAAUAGCUGAAUCUUCCAAACUUACUGAGAUAUAAGGGCACAACAGAAAAUAUCCAUAACAGCGCUACUAUCAAGGUCGGCAUAACGGCGAAAUCACUAAGCUUUUCCGUCUAUAUAAGUCACCUCCUAACCCCACUAGGGGACACUAUUCUGAUCCCAUCUCUUCUGAGCACUGAAGAAUAAUAAAGCACUUCAGCACACAUAAGACACCUAUUUUAUUUUCUUUUAAAGUAUUUGUUGUUAUCUUAGAAUAUUACUGACUUGGGCGUUGGAGUCCCUUUUGCAGGUUCCACGCCGACCUCAUCCCGGUUCCAAGGAGGACGUUCCGAGUAAUAGAAGGACCUCUCAGUCUGACCGUAGCUGAGUUAUAAGUCAGAAGCCACACUCCAGAGCGGAACAUUUCGGCGCCCACCGUGGGGCCCGAAUUAUAAGCAAUUAACCCCACAUUUCUCCUCUGCUUUCCUCCCUUUCUUUGUUUUGCAGGGCUCUCAUACCCUAUAUGGCGGACAACAGGGUAAAUCAACACACGCAGGCAGAACUAUUGGCCAUGAUAGCCGAGCUUCAGGCUGAGGUUAGGAAAGUGGCGGAGCAAUCCUCUAAAAAUACUGCCGAGAAUGGCUUAAACAAAAAAGGAGCUGACCCGUCGAGCAUAACGCCGUCCAAGGAAAGGCUCACGAUUGACAACCCUUUCUCACAGGAGGUCAUGAGCGUUCAGAUGCUGAAAAACUUCAUGCUCCCAAUCGGGCUAAAACCGUACGAAGGAAUCGGAGACCCUCGGGUGCACAUAAAAAAAUUUCAAUCCAUGAUGUUUUUUAAUGGUGCUUCUGACCCAGUGCUUUGCCGUUCUUUUCCUACUUAUUUAGAUGGUGCAGCUUUACUUUAGUUUUCCAAGAUUCCUGCAGGUUUAAUCUCCAGCUUCGAGGACCUGGCAAGGUUCUUCAUUGACUAUUUUGCAGCUUCCCGGAUAUAUGUCCACGGAACUGAUUAUCUCAGCACCAUCAAGCAAGGACAACACGAGAGUCUGAAGGACUACAUGACAAGAUUCGCCAAGGCAACAGUGGAGAUACCUGACCUCGAUCCAAAUGUGCACCUCCACGCACUCAAAAGCGGUCUCAGACCAGGCAAAUUCCAGGAGACAAUAGAUGUAACCAAAACUAAAACUCUGGAGGAGUUUCGCGAAAAAGUGGCAGGACAAAUGAAAAUCGAAGAGCUCAGGGAAGCCUGGAGGACAGACAAACCUCAAGCUCGCCGAGAAGACGAAAGGCAUAACAGAACCCCCAAUCAGAGAGAUAACAGAAAGCCUUUCAAACUAACACCCAAGUAUGACACCUACACUCAGUUCAACACGAAGACUGAAGACAUAAUCAAGGAAAUACUGAGUGCAAAAAUAAUCAAACCACCCAGCCGAGCAGGAGCCUACCAAGACUAGAGAUACGUCGACAAGUCAAAGCACUGUGCGUUCCAUCAAAAUUUGGCCACACAACCGAUGAAUGCGUCAUCGCUAAGGACCUCCUUGAAUGGCUAGCCAGACAAGGACACCUUGACAAAUACAUCGGCGGCAGAAUGAAGCCAGCUCGGCAAAAUACCAACGAUCCGCAAACUGAACAAAGGUCAAUCGAAAAAGCCAAACCUCCGCCACCACCAACCAGAGGAGUCAUAAACUGCAUCUCCAGAGGAUUUGCAGGAGGAGGACACAAACUCGGCCAGAAAGCGCAACUACAGAACCAUGUUAAUGGUAGAGGCGACAAAGGGAACAGGCACACCCUAAUAAUCUUCACCUCGCAUUACCUUCGAACAAUCUGAUUAUCAAGCACCAACACCAAACCUAGACGACCCAGUGAUUAUUUCGGUCCAGACGGGAGAUCUCCUCGUCAAGAAAGUGUUGCUCGACCCAGGCAGCAGCGCAGAUGUGCUUUUCUAUUCUACAUUCCAAAAAAUGAAAAUAAGCACAAAUAUGUUACAGCCAUACAUGGGGGAACUGGUCGGUUUCCCAGGAGAACAAGUCUCUAUCUUAGGAAGCGUCUGGUUGAAGAUAACCUUAGGAGAACACCCACUUCGCCAAACACAAGAUGUGCAAUUCCUAGUAGUCAAAUGCCCCAGUCCAUACAAUAUGAUCUUGGGUAGACCGUCUUUAAAUUCCUUUUUUUCUAUAAUUUCAAUUGUCCACCUUUGUGUAAAAUUUUAGGUAUCCAGCAGUACAACGGCGACAAUAAAUUCUGAUCAAACACAAGCUCGCAGGUGCUACAAUGAGAGCCUAAAGAACAAGCCAACAAGCAGCUAUAAGAAUAACAAAUCAGAGGAACCUCAUCAAGUGGCUAACAUCUCACCAAUGGCCGAGUUAGAUCCUCGGGAAGACCAAAAAAAUAGACCUUCACCAACCGAUGACCUCGAGCAGGUACUUUUAGACAAUAAUCAUAGCCAUAUAACUUACAUCAGUCACUCACUUCCCGCAGGCACCAAGCAACAAAUCAUCAGCAUACUUCGAAAUAAUGCUGACCUCUUCGCAUGGACCCUAGCAGAUAUGCCUGGCAUCGAUCCCGACCUAAUAUGCCACAAACUACAAAUAGACCCAAAGAUAUGACCUAUAGCUCAGAAAAAGAGAAACAUGAGCAAUGAAAAAAGGUCAGCCUGUCAAGAGGAAACACAGAAGCUACUUCAAGAAGGGUUCAUACGGGAACUCAGAUUUACAACAUGGCUCUCAAAUGUGGUAAUGGUAAGAAAACCCUCAGGUAAAUAGUGCAUGUGUGUUGAUUUCACAAAUCUAAAUAAAGCAUGUCCAAAGGAUGCAUACCCCCUCCCUUGCAUUGAUAAAUUAGUUGAUAAUGCAUCAGGAUACAAUACUCUAAGUUUUUUAGAUGCAUACUCAGGGUAUAAUCAAAUACUAAUGCACCAUAAAGACCAGGAUAAAACAGCAUUUAUAACUGAAUUGGGAAAUUACUGUUAUAAGGUUAUGCCUUUCAGCCUUAAGAAUGCAGGUGCCACGUAUCAACGACUAAUGGACAAAGUGUUCAAAGACCAAAUUGGAAGAAAUUUAGAAGCCUACAUUGAUGAUAUGGUUGUAAAAACAGAAUAGCAACAACAUCACGAAAAUGACUUGGAAGAAAUAUUCGAACAAGUCAGAAAGAACAACAUGCGACUCAACCCGGAAAAAUGCGCAUUCGGAGUAACCGAGGAAAGUUCCUUGGGUUCUUGCUAACAUACAGAGGCAUCAAAGCAAACCCAGAAAAGUGCAAGGCAAUACAAAUGCGAAGUCUCCAAACAGUAAAGAAAGUCCAGCAGUUAAAUGGCAGACUAGCCGCAUUGUCCAGAUUCCUCCCUUCAAUCUCAACACAAUCUCAACACUUUUACAAUAUACUUAAGAAACAAACAAGGUUCAACUGGAACAACGAGUGUGAAACAGCUUUCCAGAAGCUAAAAGCAACCCUAUCCUCUCCUCCAGUCUUACAAAAACCCAACCCAGGUAAGCCCCUAUUAAUAUAUUUAUCUGUUACUACUAACGCCAUAAGCUCGGCAUUAAUGACAGAAAUAAACGAAAAACAAGAGCCUGUGUAUUUUGUGAGAAAAACACUACAAAAUGCCGAACUAAGAUACUCUUCAAUGGAAAAGCUAGCAUACGCAAUGGUAAUCUCAGCAAGAAGGCUAAGGCACUAUUUUCAAAGCAACAAAAUCAUAGUAAAAACUAAUCAGCCUCUACGUCAAAUCCUAACACGACCAGAGGUAUUCGGAAGACUAGUCAAGUGGUCCAUCGAACUCUCCGAGUUCGACAUCGACUAUGAACCAAGAACAGCCAUGAAAGCGCAAAUAUUAGCCGACUUUGUGGCCGAGCUAUCAGAACAACCGAAGCAACAACAUACAUGGGAGCGAUAUGUCGACGACGCUUCCAAUAACGAAGGUUCUGGAGCAGGGGUAUUACUCACCAACAAGGAGGACUUACAAGUCGAGUAAUCCAUCAGAUUCACAUUCCAGACAAGCAAUAAUCAAGCCGAAUACGAAGCACUGCUCACCGGACUAAGGCUGGCGCAAUCUCUUAACAUUACCCACCUACAAGUAUACUGCGACUCGCAACUCGUAGUGCAGCAGAUAACAGGCCACUUUCAGGUAAAAGAUCAGCUACUAGAAAAAUACCACAGCUCAGUAAAUGAGCUCCUCACACACUUUCAUUUUAUACAAAUCACACACAUAACUCGGGAGCAUAACACCCGAGCAGAUGCACUCUCAAAAUUAGCAACAACCAAAAAGCUUGUAACUGAUUCUAUUAUAUCUCAACUAACACUCACCAAUCCAAGCUUUAGUAUCAAAUCAAUAUUUUCAGUAGCCAAGGAAGAAGACUGGAGGGUGCCAUACAAGCAAUAGAUACAAUCAGGAAGGAUCCCUCUAACAACACCAGAGACCAAAACAUUUAAAAGACGUGCAGCAUCCUUCACUAUGAUUGGAAACAAGUUAUACAGAAGAGGGUUCUCCCAACCCCUUUUAAAAUGUAUAAACAAAGAAGAGGCCGAAGACGCUAUGAACGAAGCCCAUGAAGGGGUAUGUGGCAACCACAUAGGAGACCUAAGCCUAGCAUCCAAAAUAGCAAGAGUAGGAUUUUACUGGCCAUCCAUGAAAAAAGAUUGCAUCAAUAAAGUCAAAAAAUGCGACAGCUGCCAAAAGCAUAGCUCGGCCAUCCACAACCCGACAGAGCAAUUGCACAUCUCGGAGGUAAGCUGGCCCUUCCAAAAAUGGGGGCUAGAUAUCUUCGGCCCUUUUUCAAAAGCACCAGGACAAGUAAAAUACUUACUUGUAGCAAUAAAUUACUUCUCCAAAUGGAUAGAGGCAACUCCAUUAGCAAAAAUAGGAGCUGAUAAAGUAAGAUCUUUCAUUUGGAAACACAUCAUUUGUCGCUUUGGUAUACCACAUCAUAUUAUCACUGACAAUAGUCGGCAGCUCACCGACCAAAGUUUAGCUUCUUUUUUAAAUAAAUUCCAGAUAAAAAACUAUUUUUCAUCAGUGGAACACCCACAGACCAACGGGCUCGCAGAGGCCGCCAACAAGGUCAUUCUCAACUCUCUUAAGAAAAAACUUGGCAAUGCAAAAGGAGAAUGGGCCGAGUUAAUACCAGAGGUACUCUGGGGUUAUAACAUAACAAUUCAAUCCACAACACAAGAAACACCGUUCAGACUGGUAUAUGGAGCAGAUGCCAUGAUCCCAGUUGAGGUCUCAAUAACGUCAACACGUAGAAAUCAAAUAUCGACCGAACAAAAUGACAACAUCAGACGGACAGAGCUCGACACGAUCGACGAAGACAGAGAGAAAGCCUGAAUAAAACAACUCGCAAUGCAACAAAUAAUUAGAAGAAAAUAUAACAAGAAAGUACAACCAAGAGCAUUCCACGAACAGGACCUCGUCCUCAGAAAAACAAAGGAAGCAAGAAGACAACAUACACAUGGCAAACUAGCAGCUUCAUGGGAAGGACCCUACCAAGUUCUCAAAUUACUCGGAAAAGGAGCAUACAAACUACAGACACUAGAAGGUGAAGAAGUCCCAGGAAUCUGGAACAUUUCCUCUUUGAAGUCUUACUUAUUAUAGAAAUGAUAUGGACAAGAGGAGAUACUCUUUUUCCUACCCCCAGGAUUUUCCCCACAUAGGGUUUUGUCUGGGAGAGGUUUUAAUGAGGUCCCUCACACCCAUAUCAACAACAUGUACAAACCAUUCAUAUAUAUAACAAAACAACAUUGUCAAAUCCAUUCAUUCAAAACUCAAACAAAAGUACAAACAUGCUCUACCAAACCAUAACAAAAUCAACCACACAUUAUCCAGUGUUCCAAAAGAAAGCAAAAAGCUUUACAAAAAACAAACUAAAACAUAAUAACUUCUUCAAUCUACUUUCUCAACAGAAGCACUCCCAUUCCCCUUAUCAGACAGAGCUUCAUCAUCGAGCGACUGACCAUUACUAGCAAUUUUUGUAACAUCUAAUUACUAACAUCAAAAGAGGGAGAUAACACUCCUAUCUGAGCUACAGCACGAUCAAACCCAAGAGUAAAGGCUGACAAAACCUCCUCCUGCAGCUCAGGAAUCUGAGCAUUCGCCUUUUCAGCCUCUUCAACUUUUGACUCAAGAUCUCGCUAACUUUCUGAAGCUCAGACUCAACAUUCUUUACCUUCUCCUUCAAACCCCUAACUUCAGUUUUUAACUUCUCAGCCCGAGCAUCCCUCUCCUCCAAAGACUCUUUCAGCUUCUUAAUUGCAGCAACCUGAUCACCCUCCAAGAUAGCAUCCAACUCCGAAGUCUGACCAAUAGAAAGAAGCCUAGCCCCAAUCACCUACGAAAAAAGGAAUCAUCACAAACCAGUAUUUACAAUAGCAAAAAGACAAAGCACACUAGAAAAUAUACCUGCAAAUAGCGAGCAACCCCAACCUUUCCUGCAUCAUGAAUUAUCUUAACAUCAGAAUCCACCUGAGCAACCUCGUCAGCCACGGCCAUAAAAAGAUACCCAGAGGACCACAGAGAGUUACGAGGACCUUCCCUAUAACCAUGAAGAACCACCUGACUCUCAUAAGCAGCACUUAUCUCCUCAGGAGUAAAAAUGGCAGAACUAUCUCUCGUAGCAGUAAGGUCAACAAUUUUUGGUGAACCAUCACCUCUCUUCCUCUUAAAGCUUCCGUCAAGCUUCCCAACACCUCCCUCACCUUCUUUAACUACAUUGGUAGAGGAUCCCUCCUUUUCUUUCUUUCUGUUCUUCGAAACAAAAGCUUUCAAAUUCGCCGUAGUGAGCAUGGAAGUUUUCUCACCUACACAAAAAACACAGAAACCAUAUAAGAUAAAAAUACCAAACCCAAACCACAGCUCAAACCACACAACCUACAGGUUACCUAGAUACUCCUCCAACGCCUCCUUAUUCCCUUUAAGCUCUAGAAGAGUAGACGUAGAAAGUAAAGAAGACGACGACAUUGCAGACAUCAAAAAAUUUAACAACAAAUCUUCGCUAGAAACCCUAUUUUCGCAAUCUAAAACCUGUUUGGGCUUGGGAGACCAAAAAACCAGAAAUCUCUCCUCAAGCAACGAGUCCAAAAAGAAGGGAUAAAAACCUUCAACAAUCUGAACUUUAACAAACAUUUCUUUAAAAUCUUUGAAAGAUUGUUUGUAUAAAGUGAAAAUCCCAUGACCUGGAUGACCACUCAAAUUCACCUACCCACCUCUACGAACACCCUUAGCUUGGAACAAAGAGAAAAAUAAACCAAGUGAAGGAUAACAUUCCAAAUAAUCCAUCAGACAUUCGAAAGCUCUAACAAACACCCAGGAAUUUGGGUGCAAUUGUGUCGGAGCACAGUUUAACACCCCCCCGAGAUAUGCUUCAACAGGAAUCACACAGGGGUAGAUUGAUACAAUAGAAACCUCUGGUAAAAUGCCCACCCGUAACCCGAUAAAGUACAUAUGCGCCAACCGAAACCAGGCGUUGAGCUCAUCCUCGAUGCAGUGAAAAGCUGACACCUUCCUCAGCCGCUUUUGAUCGGCCCUAAAUAAAAUCCUUGCCCUUGUUCGAUAGAAGAAUCUGGAGCGGAUUUCCGAUAGUAAACAAAUUCUCUAUGGUGGAACAGGAUAUCUUUUAUUUUUUCCUCGAGUAAAUUCUUUUUUUUCGGAGCAAUCUUAAUAAGUUGUCUUUGCUUUGAAGGCUGUGUUACCCUUUUGAAUCCGGUAGACGAUGUUUGUAUCGCCGACGAGAAUGUGGCCUGGCCUCUCUUCUUUAUCGCCAGACAGUAAAUGAUCUAGGUCUCGCAAUAAGAAAAGAUGUAAAACUCCACACUCGAAGUCAGUAAAAGGAAAACGUAUACCAAGUUCAGUCAACAAACAUGUAACACUCUACAAUACAGAGUCUUAUGCUUAAGUCAUAAUUCAGAGAUGGCAAGGUAUUACGACCUCAAAAAUAAAAAUAUAGUACGUAUAGUAGUAUGAAUGAUUGAUUAUAACUAGGAGCCUUUGUAGAAAAAGGGGUAAACAAAAAUCGCAACUCGAAAGCGCAACACUCCGAUCGAUAACGUAACGAACAAGGAUAACCAACGCGAGAUUAUAUAUAUACAAAGGAGUGUCAAAAACAGGAAUAUCAAGACUCAAAAUCCGGCUGCGAAGAUAACCGGUCCGAGCAUAGCAAUAUAUACAUAUGAUAAAAUAAGGAAAAACCCCAAAGGAAACCCAAAGGGACACAAAUACAUAAAACCUAUUCUCCAAAAUCUCCCAUAAGAGGAGUCAUUACAGUUUGUAUUAUUUAAAGGAGAUAAAAGUAUCUAAGCAAAACAUAUAAACCAAAAUAUAGUCCUGAGAACAAAGGAUCUUCGCAAAUCUAGAAGUCUCCAGCAUGCCUCAGCGGGAAACCUCACGUCCUACAUCUGAAAACCACAAAAUCCGAAUAGGUGAGAACUAGAGGUCCCCAGCAUGGUAACAUCUUCCACAUAUAUAAUACAUAAUAAUAGAGGAACGCCGAAGGCAAUCCUAGAACUUCCUCUAGAUAAAAAUCAAAGCUUAUAAACAAGCUAAACCAUAAAAGGGCAUCUGACUAAAGAUUCUUCAGUCUAACUAAUACUUCCCUUUCCAAUUCCUUCAAACCUCCCAACCACCAGCAGGAGUAUAAUGUAGCAAACACAGUUAUAUCAAACAAGAAAUAUACAAAUAGGAACAAUUAAGGUAUUUAGAUAAUUACCAAAUAAUAUGCAGUCAAUUAGGCAAUCUCGAACAAUUCAUAUAGUAUGCAUAUGAUGAAUGCCUGUCCCUAGUGGCUGAUGAUAUCAUCUGUCAGUUAUAGAGCCAACCCGACAAGUCCUGGUAGCUAACCAUUGGACUGUCCCUCUGUCACGCAUCCCCAACUCGAGUUAUACUCAUCAUAAACUUGAUCAUAAUCAUGAUCCAUAUCCAUCACCUUCACUGGUGAAUAUUUACGGGGGCGAGCUCAUCCAGGUCUUUCACAGUGCCCGGCCACACUUAUGACAUAGGGUCAAAAGAGCUUCGAGUCUCAACCUGGAGCACGUGGUGGCUGGCCACUGCUUCCUCCCAGGGAAACUCUCAUCUCCAACAGUGGAAGUGCAACAUUCACAAUUCAUUCAACAGCAUAUAUGCAUUUAUACAUAGCCAUAAUCAUGGCUCCGCCGUAACACGGCAAUAAUCUAGCCAUCCGGCUCACGGUUAAAUCCAUAACCAGCCAAUUCAUUAACAAUUACGGCCCUUCGGCCCAUGGCAUAACAAGCACUUCUACCACCAUCCUCCGCCUCUCACAUAAUCAUCUUUGAUCCUCAUUGAUCAUUUAUUUUUUCCUUGCUUCACUCGCAAGUUACCACAUUCACUAGCCCUUCUUCUCAUAGCUAGACAUGUCAUAAUGAUUUAAGACAUAAGUGGUGAGAUCGGAGGCUUAGAAGUAUGAAAUUUGGCUUUUAAAACUCAAAAAUCAACUUUGGGAUGAAAACAGGGCCACACGUACGCGUACUCCACGUGCAUACGUGGAUGGCCUCGAAAACUCAUCGACGCGUAUGCGUCAUGCACGCUAACGCGUGGAUUGAAAAUUAGCCAAGUGACGCGCACGCGUCGCCCACGCGUACGCGUGGGUGCUCUCGUGCCCUAGGCACAAAACUAGCACAGUUCUGGCACAACUCUCUGGCAAAUUGGCUGGGCAUUGGGUGUAGCACAUCGGCGCGCCCGUGCAGACCACGCGCACGCGUGGAUGGCGUUUUCCAGAAGAACGGCGCGUACGCGCCAAGUGCGCCUACACACAAGGGGUCAUUCUGCUAAAAAUUUUUCUAAGUUAAAAGCUGCAGAAUUCACAGAUUUAAACCCCAAUCUUCCAACGGACAUAACUUUCUAAUUUUAAAUCAUUUUUCACCCGUUCUUCGAACGGCAUGGACAUCCCGGAUCUAAUUUCAUUUCUAAACAGAUUUGGCACAAAAUGUAGAUCCGUAGUCCAAGUUAUGUCCCAUCAAAGUAUGCCCAAAAACCAUAUUUUCAUACAAAACCACAACAUGCCAUUUUCAAAACAAGCCAUUUUCAAGUUUUAUCAAAAUCAAUCAAAACAUGCCAAUUUCAUCCCUUUUCUUUGAAAUCAAUCAAAAUAUAUCAAAUUCAACAUCAAGCCUCCUCAACUCACACAUUGAGACUUUACCGCAAUUUACCAAAAUCACUAUCUCAUCAUUUUAACCCACUUCACCCAAGUGGCUCAAAUUCAAACAUAUUGACAUAUCAUAUACUCUUCCUCAUGCCAAUUCUCAACAACACCAAUUCCAAUAAAUCAUCAUUAUACACAAUUAAUAUCAUACUCACCAUCAACAUGGUUCAACCCACAAUUCAACCAUAACCAAUCAUCAAGCAUAUAUCACAACAUACAUAUUUCUCAUACAUCAUACCAUCAAGGCAUCAUUAAUCAUCAUCACAUAUAUGACCACAUCACAUAUUUCAACCAUUCAACAAUAUCAACAAUUCAAUGCCUAUCUUAGGGCCUCUAGCCUAAGUAUUUCCUACCACAUUACAUAUUAGAUACGGGAAACCGAGACCAUACCUUAGCCGAUUUCCCAAGCUCAACCGGAGCACUUCCAAACCACUUUUUCUUCAAGCUCUCAAGGUCUCAACACCUUCAAGAAUAGAUUUUUCACCACCAAAUCCCUUUUUAAGCUUUCCAAAAUCACCAAUCAAGCUCCAAUAUUCACACAUACACAACUUAAGCCACAAUCAUCAUACCCAUACACAACAUCUCAAAACCCAAACAUCAUAGAACAACAAAAUUACACUAGGGUUGAGAAUCUUACCACACCCAAGGUCCAAGGAGAUAAGAUUAACCUUCUCCUUCAAGAGAGUUGGGUCCUAUAACAUCAAAGAGCCCAAAAUCUCAACAUUUUUGCUCAUAAAACUCGAAAACAAGGCUGGAAAUUCGAAGAGAAAAACGUGGCUUACCUCAAGAUUAAUUGUAUGGGUUUUGUAGAGCUCUCCGCGGUGAAUGCGUGGCCGCAAAUGGAGCGGCAAUCGGAGCUCUAGAUCAAAAGUUAUGGUAGUUUAAAGAUCAAGUGAGAGAUAGAAGUUGAGAGAGUGUUCUUCCCUCUUCCAUCUCAAUUUUCAGCGUGUUUUGGUGUUGUGUGAGGAGAGAGAGUACUGAAAACUAGGGUUUUGGUUUAGUUAUGUUGGGCCAAGGGCCCACUUUGGGUUUGAUUGGCCCGGUUUGGCCCGUUCGGUCCAAUCUUGGUCCGAAUUCUAUAAAAUUGGUACUGAAAUUCUCGUAUCAAUCUCCUCUAUCAUAUUUAGCCAUAAAAACCACAUUUUUGGCUUUCUAUAAUAAAUUCUCAUUUAUAGGUUAAUUAGCCGUUAAUUAACAGGGUUUUACAUUCUACCCACCUAAUUGGGAAUUUCGCCUACAAAAUUCAAAUGCAAUUACCUGAGAAUAAAUGCGAAUAAUCCGUUCGCAUCUCCGACUCAAGUUCCCAAGUGUGUUCCUCAACACCGUCUCGACUCCAAGCCACUUUGACUAAUGAAACCUCUUUUUUCACGCAACCGUUUGAUACUAGUAUCAUUAAUUCUGACCGGAGCUACUAGAAGCGUCAAAUCUUCCCUUAACUGAACCGACUCAGGUUCUAACACAUGGCUAGCAUCUGGAGUGUACUUCCGAAGCUGCGACACGUGAAACACGUCGUGCAGGUUUGAAAGAUGAGGUGGUAGAGCCAUCCGAUACGCCACCGGUCCAAUCCUCUCCAGGAUCUAAAAUGGACCAAUGUAUCGAGGAUUCAACUUCUUUGUUUUAAUCGCCCUACCUACUCCCGUGGUCGGAGUAACCUUAAGGAAAACAUGGUCUCCUUCCUCAAAUUCUAAGGGCCUUCGCCUCUGAUCGGCGUAACUCUUUUGACGACUCUGCGCCGUAAGCAUGCUAUCUCGGAUUUUCUUGACUUGUUCAGUAGUCUCAGCUAUCAUUUCCGGUCCCAACAAGCUUUUCUCUCCAGCUUCAUACCAACAUAGCGGAGAUUAACAUUUCCUCCCAUACAAGGCCUCAUACGGAGCCAUUCCGAUGCUCGCAUGAUAACUAUUAUUGUAUGCAAACUCCACUAAUGGCAUAUACCGAUCCCAACUCGCCGGUUGGUCCAAAACACAAGCUCUCAACAUAUCCUCUAGUGUUUGGAUCGUCCUCUCAGAUUGACCAUCUAUUUGAGGAUGGUAAGCCGUGCUCAAGAUUAGUCGAGUUCCAAAAGCUUUCUGAAAUGCACCCCAAAACCUUGAAGUGAAACGAGGAUCUCUAUCAGAGAUUAUAGUAGCGGGUACACCAUGAAGUCUCACAAUCUCCUUUAUGUAUAACCGUGCUAGCUCCUCAAGGGUGUAAGUCAUCCGAAUGGGUAAAAAGUGAGCUGACUUCGUCAGUCGGUCCACAAUCACCCAAACAGCAUCAAAACCAGCCCUAGUCCUUGGCAAUCCUGACACAAAGUCUAUUGCAAUACUUUCCCACUUCCAUUGUGGAAUCUCUAAAGGUUGCAACAUCCCGGAAGGUCUUUGAUGUUCAAUCUUUACCUUUUGACAAGUUAAGCACUUUGAUACAUAUUCCACCACAUCAUUCUUCAUACCCGGCCACCAGAACAUCGCCUUUAAAUCAUGGUACAUCUUAGUACUUCCCGGGUGAAUGGAGAAUCCGCUUUUGUGUGCCUCCUUUAAGAUAUCUUGCCUCAAAGUGCCAACAUCCGGCACAAUGAUCCUACCCUUGAACCUCCAUAACCCAUCUUUUUCUUCCGACACUCUCCACUGUUUUUCUUGCUCAAUAGCCGGUAACACCUUCCAUAACGCUUCAUCAUUUUGAUGAGCCUUUAGGAGUUUGGACUUAAAGUCACUUGAGAUUUCUAGUCGACUCAAACACAAGGUUCCGGAUACUUCUCGAGCACCAAUUUUCAGACUCUCAAAUCCAUUGAGCAACUUCUCCUCUUGGAGCAUCAUCCAAGCCGCAUAUAACGACUUCUAACUUAACACAUCCGCCACUACGUUCACCUUUCCCGGAUGGUAAUGCAACUCAAAGUCGUAGUCCUUCAAUAAUUCCAUCCACCUCCGCUGCCUAUUGUUAAGCUCUUUCUGAUCAAAGAGGUACUUCAAGCUCUUAUGAUCAGAGAAAACUUGGAACUUAACCCCAUAGAGAUAAUGCCUCCACACCUUCAAGGCAAACACAACCGCAGCGAGUUCCAAAUCGUGCGUAGGGUAACUAACUUCGUGAGGUCUCAACUAUCGUGAGGCAUACGCCACCACAUUAUGAUGUUGCAUCAGCACGCACCCUAGACCCUUCAAUGAGGCAUCACAAUACACCUCAAAAGGCUCGUUUGGCUCAGGUAACACUAACACAGGUGCAGUGGUCAACUUUUUCUUCAAUGCCUGAAAGCUCUCCUCGCACUCAGGAGUCCAAACAAACGGAGUGUCUUUGCGGGUUAACUUUGUCAUUGGCAAAGCUAUCUAUGAAAAGCCCUUGAUAAACCUUCGGUAAUAGCUAGUUAAGCCCAGAAAACUCCUUAUCUUCGUUACGGUGGUUGGUUGCUUCCAAUCCAUCACAGCCUCCACCUUAGUUGGAUCUACGGCUAUUCCCUUUUUACUCACUACAUGCCCCCAAAAACUUCACCUCACUCUUCCAGAACUCACACUUAGACAGUUUCGCAUAGAGUUUCUUCUCCUUUAGAAUCUGCAACACGGUCCUCAAGUGUUCCGCAUGCUCUUCUUCAGUCUUGGAGUAAAUCAGUAUGUCAUCAAUGAAGACAACAACAAAUUUAUCCAGAAACGGAUGGAAAACUCUAUUCAUAUAAUCCAUGAAUACCGCAGGAGCGUUCGUCAACCCAAAGGACAUUACAGUGUACUCGUAAUGACCAUAACGAGUCCUAAAAGCGGUCUUAGGGAUAUCCUCACCCCUCACCCUUAUCUGGUGAUAAUCGGAUCACAAAUCGAUCUUGGAGAAAACUCCAGCUCCUUGUAACUGAUCCAUGAGAUCAUCAAUUCUCGGCAAUGGGUACUUAUUCUUUAUUGUAACCUUGUUCAGCUGCCUGUAAUCCACACAGAGCCACAUACUCACAUCCUUCUUCUUUACCAGUAGCACUGGCGCACCCCACGGAGAGACACUUGGUAGUAUAAAAUUCUUUCCCAACAAAUCCUCUAACUGAGACUUUAGCUCGUUCAUCUCUAACAGUGACAUCCUAUACCUGCACUUGAGAUUGGGCCUGCCCCAGGCACCAAUUCAAUAGCAAACUCAACCUCUCGGUUAGGUGAAAACUCAUCAAUAUUAUCGGGAAACACUUCUGGAAACUCACACACAACCGGAAUCUGCUCCAACCUUUGAUCAUCACCCGAAACACCCGCGGUUAACAAUAGGAUACCCUGACAUUCGGUUCCGGAACAGUUCACCAUCAUCAAAUUCAAGUAAUAAUUAUUCACCACGACCGGCGCUUCUGUAUCUUCCGGCAUAAAGUAUACCAACUUUGUAGAACAAUCAAGCAGAACAUGGUUCUUAGAUAACCAGUCCAAUCCCAAGAUAAGAUCAAGACCAAUCAUCGGUAAGCAGACUAAAUUAUGAACAAAAUCACGCUGCUUGAACCUAAAGGAAACUUCCGGGCAUCCUAGCCUAGUCACCAUGGCUUCAUGGGUAGCAUUAUACACUCUUAGAUCAUAACCUAAGGUUACAAUCUUCAAUCUUAACUCAUGGGCUUUCUCAAAUGCAAUGAAUGAAUGUGAUGCUCCCGAAUCAAAUAAAGCAUUUAAAGUUUGACCAGCCAUUUCACAGUUACCUCGAAUAAGUGUCUCAGAUCCCUCGGCACCUAUAGCUGAGGUGGUGAACACCCGACCAGUCUGUUGUGCUUUCCCAACACCUUGUUUCUGCUUCUCCGGACAGCUUGCGGCUUUAUGCCCCGCCUUUCCACAAUUGUAGCACAAACCCCAUCCGGCCUUGCAUGGUGCUCCCGGAUGGUGACUUCCACAUCUAGUACAAGCUUGAUCAUUCUGAGGCUGCUUUCCAAACUUCUUCCCUUGGGAGUUGUUGUUGUUGGGCCUCCUAAAAGAGUUUUCCCUCUUGAAAGGCGGACUUCUAGGUGCAAAGCUCUUCCCUCGGUUCUGUGGGAAUGAUCCUUUGUGACUCCCUUUCUCAGCGGUUGCCCUUUUUACACACUCUUCAGCAACCCUACACUUGUUUACCAACUCGGAAAAAGUCCUAAUCUCCAUUGGUCCCACUAAACUGAAAAUAUCGCUCCGGAGUCCUCCUUCAUACUUAACACACUUACAUUCCUCAUAUUCCACCGGAGUCCCUUGGCACAUACGAGAGAACCUGAACAGCUCCUCAAACUUGUCAGUAUACUCUGAUAUGGACAUGGUACCCUUCUUCAGCUGCAGUAACUCAAGUUCCUUAGCCGUCCUGGCAGAAGUCAGAAAGUACUUCUUAUAGAACUCCUCUUGGAAGACAUUCCAGGUGAUAUACUCAUCACCCUGCUAUAGAAGACGUCGGAUACCUUGCCACCAAUGCGACGCUUCACCGGUGAGCAUAUAGGUAGCAAACUCGACACGCUGUCCUUCAGGUACCACUUGUGCUUGCAGUGCUCGCUCUAUAGCCUGAAACCAUGUAUCAGCCUCAGUCGGACUAGCAGUUCCCUUGAACUUAGGUGGAUUAACUUUCAAAAAGUCUGCCAGUGUCAUCGGGCCCUGAACUCCACCUCCAUCAUUACCAUGGUUGUUCAUCUGUUGACCAAGAGCCUCAACAGUGGCUUGCAUAGCAGCAACCAUGUUCUCCAACGCAGUCAUAAAGUUCACCGGGUCAUUAGGGUUAUUCUCCGGCGCAUGAGCAUUCGUACGACCUCUCACACUACCUCUACCGCGUCCACGAGGCGCCAUCUGGUUCCUAUACACACCAAACAAUCGAUAUUAAGUUGAUCAGUCUCAAUAUCGGAAGUCUAGUACUUCAAGGUCCCAAAUGUAAGCUCAUGAAUGUUUAUGCCAAUUAUAUCAAGCAGAUAUACUAAUAGCACAUAACACACACACAGAGAAUGCACAGAAGCAUAGUCAGUCCAUCCCUCAGGCUCUACAGGAACGAACUGCACUGAUACCAUAAUGUAACACCCUACCAUACAGAGUCUUAUGCUUAAGUCAUAAUUCAGAGAUGGCAAGGUAUUUGAUAAACCCAUAUUUCAUGAGUUCUUUUGUGCUUAAUUAGAGUGAUUUAUUCAACUCUUCACCUACUUAUUCACAUUAAUUGCAUAGUUUUACUUUCCCUUCCUUAUUAUGUCAAAGGUUGAUUGCUUGGUUUAGUAACUAUACUUACAACGAGAGUUUUUAUAACCUCUAAACCAUCAAUCCACAGUUCUUCAAAAUGGCGCCGUUGCCGGGGAACUGCUAACGUGUGCCUUAUUAUUGGUUAUUGUAAAUAUUUUUCUUUUGCUUGUUUAAUAAUUGUUGUUUUUCCUUUUUCUCUUUAUUUGCUACUAUGAACUCUCACCCCUCUCGCUUUGAGUUUGGUUCUAAUAUUGUUAAAGGAAAUAGAAGUUAUAGCAAGAAUGUGCAUCAAGGUCAGACCAAUCAAGGAUGGAUGAAACCAAGAGGAUCUAAUCAAACCNNNNNNNNNNNNNNNNNNNNNCCUUACCCCAAUACCAAUCCAAGCGUUCCCAAUCAUCACCACUUUCCUUUGUAUCAUGUCCAAGUCUGGCAAACCGCGAAGCAAAGGAUCGCCUAAAAGAAACAAUGAUUAAAUUUCAAACAACCGUUCAACAACUGGAGCAAGCACUAAUUCAAUGGGCCACUAUGCGCUCAAAUAUACAAGGAUCAACCACAGCUCCGUGUGGACAGCCCGAUGAAGAGCGUAGCAUGAAAGAAAUACUAGAGACUCCAGUGGACAAGACAGAGAAUGAAUUCGUACUAGAACAAGUGGAAGAAGCUGUCAUUGUUCAAGAAGAAGAAUUGGUUGAAGAUCUAGGCAAUGCUGAACUUCCUUGGGAAUCCAGAAUUGAGGAAAACUCCGUUCAAGAUGCCACAGUUGAUGCUAAGGAGGAUACCGUACAAUCUCCAAGGCAAGUCGUUUACGAAGAAUCAGACGGAAUAAUCCAAGAAGCAAUUUUCCUUGAUGAUGAUAGUCACAAGUCUAGUUCUCCUAGUGAUGAACUUGCAUCCGCAAGUGAAUUCUCUAAGAUCGAAGAAUCUUCCCCAAGUGAAUAUGAAGAUGAUGCGGAGGUAGAUUUCUCUCAACCUCCAAUAUAUGACUCGAGUGAUGAGGAAGACAUAGAAGACUUUGACCAGGAUACAGAUACAAUUGAAGAUCUUUGCAAGGAAGUGGAAGAACUCACAGAAGAGCACAAGGAAACGGGACUUGCUGAACCACCAAAAACACCUAUCCCACGGCCAUUACCACCUAAUACAAGCUUCAAGUGGGUACAAUCCUUAACUUAUAAUUUUACUUAUUCACUUGAUUAUGGUUUGCUUGAAACAGAUGGCCAGCUUAGAGCUCUUUGCGGCUUUAAGAGUAAGAGGGAAUUGGCUCGUACUCAGAACUGGUACACCAGGUUCAAUAAGGUUCCACACUUUACCUCGAAGUACACGGAUUGGUAUCAUGCUCAAUUGCACGGAUCACAGAGAACGUUUGGUCACCACGGUGAAAUUCUACUUUUUAAACCGCCCGGAUGGAGACAUGUAGACCAAGACGGAGGCGGAUUUAAUCGCAAGGCUUGGAAUCCUGAGGUUUAUUCUGAUAUUUGUUACCCCAGGAGCCUAAAAAUUUGUUUGAAGCUGCUCAGAAGCUUUACAUGCCUAGUUUGGGACCCCGGAGGCUAUUGGCAUUCCAAGCACUGGUGGAGAUUUUUGGACGAAUUUAAACACAAGCCACCAUAACAGGAUACUCUUUCAAUGUCCAACUUAAGGACUUUAACUAAAAGUGCUAGGUGGGAGACAACCCACCAUGGUAUGGUCGCCUCUUUUUCAACUUAUUUUACUGUUAAUUGCUUUUAUUUUUCCUUUUUCAUUUUAAUUUAUUAAACCUGGAAUCAUGCAUAAGCAUUCAUGAUAGUCAUUGCAUUCUGCACUUUUCAUGUACAAAAAAAAAAGAGGCUGCACGACGCGACCGCAUGCCCCAUGCGAUCGCGUCAUAUCGCGAAAAACACCACCCAUGCGACCGCGUGACCCACGCGGCCGCGUGAUAUAUAUAUCGGCGUAAGGAUCCAACGAAUAGAAAGUUGGGCUGGAAUCGUGCGGCCCUUGUGCGUUUCGCACAAAUUAGCCCACGCGAUCGCAUGCCCCAUGCGACCACGUCACUUGCACAAUACCAAUCCCACGCGACCGCGUGAGCGACGCGAUCGCGUCGCAUGGAUUGCACAUCGCCCCAAAAGGAGACAGAGAGUUACGCUAAAACGGCGCUGGAGUCGUGCGUUUAGCACGACUUCCAGUGACGCGAUCGCACGACCCAUGCGAUCGCGUCACCCUUCUUUCCCCCUCGCAUGCGAUCGCGUACCCCACGCGAUCGCGUCACUUCCAUUCUCGCCCCAACCAUGCAACCGCGUGCCCCACGCGCCUGCGUGGAUUCGAAAAUAUAACCCCCCCAGCCCGCGAACCCUAUCAGUCGCGCAGCCCUCACCCCCAACCCUCUUCCCCUUCUCUGCCUCCUCUCCCUCCAACCACCACCCACCACCUAAACCCUUUCUCCGACACCAACCCCCUCCGCCGCCACCACCGCAUCGCCGUGCACCACCACCGCGCCGGACGCCGCCGCAGCCACCUUCUUCCCUGUUCCACCCCUUCCGCUUACCAGGUUCCGCAAAACGCAACCAAUUUUUUUUUAUUUUAUCUGUUCGUCACUUUUCUGUAUUUUUUUUAUUCCAUUUAUGUUCAUAAUUAGGAUAGUUAGACUUGCAUGUCGUAGUGGAUUUUUAGGUUGUUAGGUAGCUUAGGCUGUGGUUAGUGGAUCUAGGUCUGUUUACUUGCACUGUUCUUACUUCUGUUUUACCCUAUGUGCCAAUCUGUUGCUGCUAUAAUCAUGAUUCAUAUGCUGCUUUCUUGUAUGUUGCUGCUGUUUACAAUUGAGUUUUUAUGUUUAUUUUAUAUCUAUGUACAUGCGGCUUGAUUUUUUUUUUAAUGCAUAUGAACUGAUUAAAUUGCUGUUUAUUUUCCGGGACAAUCCAAUUUUAGCCGGAAUGCUGCCCAAAUUUUUUAAAAUUAUUUUCAUGCAUGUUUUGGUUUGGCAUUUCUGAAAUCUGUUUUACUUUGCUUUACCCAAACCUUUACAUGCAUGCUAUGGCAGACUUUCUCAUCCUUUUUGAUUUCCUGGUUCAUAAACUGCUUGUUCAAUUAUGAGUACUUCUAUUCUUACCUGUGAAUCCUUGUUACAUGGAAUUUUUUCUAUGCCACUUACCUUCCUAACUCACUGAUUUUAAUUUACUAAUUUUUUUUCAAAUCCUAACCACACUAACCCUUUUGGUCUCUUUUCUGAUUAUUUUUACUUUCCUCUAACUUUCUAACCAUGGCAUAUUGCUUAUUUUUUUUUUCCAUUUAACAUUCAUUCAAUGACAUUUCAAUUACUCAUUUUUCUUAUUCUAUUUCUCCCUUACCGCUUUGAGUCUCCUUUGUUUAAUUGCCUAUUUGCUUUCCUAUAUUUUUUUAUCCAUUCCUGAUUUUCUGUUUUUCAGGAUGUCUGCCUCACACAGGAAAGGUAAAGGCAAGGCCACUGGUAAGCGCAAGAGAGGAGAAUCCUCCCAGUCCAUCAUUUCUCUAAUGCACGAUACCUCAUGGCGGGAGAAGAACUUCACACCGCAGGAGAAAGCUAACCAGCUGCUUCCUGCAAAUGAUCCUAUAAAAUUUGCAAACCGGUACUGUGAACUGAAGUACCCGGCUUUUGCAAACUCCAAAAAUCUAUAUCUGGAACGUACCUUGAAGAAUCCAGAAGCCCUUCAGCAGUACACUACUGAGCAAAUCAAGCAAAGGGGCUGGUACUUUCUGGAGAGACCACUGACAGAGGUCAAUGCAUCUUGGGUCCGGGAAUUCUAUUGCAACUACUACCUUACUACCCUAGAUGCAGUGAACCUGAGGGAAAAGUAAAUUUUGGUCACAGAGGAAGCCAUAGAGACCAUUCUCCAACUCCCAGCCAAGUCCGAUCAGCCAGAUGGUUUUGCACAGGCUGAUGAGGACAUGGGCCAGAUGCAGUUUGACUGGGAUGCUGUGAAAGCACGGAUAGCUCUCGACCCUGCUGUUCCUUGGGAGAUGGGUCAGAACACCACUAUGCCUAGAGGGAUCAAGAGAGUGUACUUAAAUGAUGAGGCUCAACUAUGGCAUCAGAUCUUGAGUAAUUUUAUGAUGCCGAGUACUCACGAGACCGAGAUCCCGGCUACCAUGAUCACCCUCCUUUGGUGUGUGCUGGAGGGUAAGGACAUUUAUCUGACUCGUUUUAUCUGGCAUUAUAUGGCCAGGGCCCACGUCCGAGGCAACCUCCCCUUUCCUUACCUGGUUACACGGCUAGGCCGUCAGGCUGAUGUGCCUUGGGAGGAUGCCGAUGAGCGACCACCAGCAGCGGACUGCAGGAAGAUCAUCCCGCACAGCAGGAACUUCCUUGCCUUGGGCUACAGACCACCACCUGUCACUGCUACUGACGAGACAGCCCCUCCGUCUGCUGGACCCUCUUCAUCCACAGCUGCCCCAGCUGCCCCUGCUGCCAUCACUGCACCUCCACCCGCCUCUGUGCCGGUCUAUCGCCUCGUGCACCGUCUAUUCCGCCAGCUUGAUCAGAUGGAGCGCCGUAACAGGCGCCGGUAUGAGAGAUUAGAGCACCGUAGCAGGUGACGCUAUUCCCAUCUGAAGCUGAUGAUCAGAUAGGGCGCCGACAUCUCCUCCGAGCCCGACACCCCUUCAGAGCCAUCAGAGGAUGAGCACGAGGAGGAGGAUGAGCAUGAGGAGGAGCCUCAUUUCCAGACGGAGACUCAUCAGCAAGCAGCCACAGAGCAGGCUGCCCCGCAUCAGGAGGUUAUGCCCCAGAUAGAGGCUACAGAUCCGGAGAUCCCGCUCCAGUCCGUCCCACCUCCACAGCAGCCAGACCCUCAGCCCACCACCGCCACGGAGACCCCAGCUACCAUCCCUACCAUUGAUGACACUCCUUCACACUAGGCUUGAUUGAGCAUCGAGGACAAUGCUUCAUUUUAAGUGUGGGGAGGUCGCCAUCUCUGGCGUUUAUUUUGGUGAACUACUACAUACUUUUUCUUUUAUUUUGGAUAUUUUUCUGUAUUUUUCUCUUUUUCUUUUAUUGUUAUUUUCUUAGUACUUAUACAUUGCUACUUGUGUAUUUUACUCUAUGUGCUGCAUUUUGCAUCUUUAGUUCAUACUUUAGCCAUUUAGUUUAUUUUAGUUAUUUAGUUUAGUUUGCAAUUCUGAUUUAUUAGUGGAUUAAUUAGUAUAGUUUACUCUUUUUGGCAUAAGAUAGUAUAGUUUAAAUAGAAAAAUAUAAAAAGGAAGUAAACUAGAAACUUUAAACAGAAUCAAAACACCCACACCUUAUAUAUAUAGCAUUACAUGUUAGUUGACAACAUUUCAUCAAGGAGGAACAUUAGAACUUUAAAAGCUACCCUAAAUAAUUUUUUCAAGAGAAUAAUGGGAAUUUUUAACUAAACCUGCAUACAAUAUAUGAAUGAUAUAUGAUGCUUGAGUUAGAGAACACACAGCCUGUGAGUCUUGAGCUUAAAGUGUAUGGUUGCAUUCAGACCAUAAUUUUAUUUCUGUGUGUCACAUUUCUUUUUAUUCUGAUGUUCUUUACUUUGCUUUAAUCUAUAUGUCUAAUUAUAGAAUAUAGAAUAGAUACAUACCAAGAGAAUGAUUGAGGCCAUCAUUUGAUUUUAGCUCACUCACCCCAAAUCAGCCUACCUUUUACAUCACCCUUGUUAGCCCCCUUGAGCCUUUUAAAACCCCUUUAUUCUAUUUAGCCAAAUAACUAGCCUUAAGCAGAAAAACAAAGAAAAAUCCCAAGUGAAUCCUUAGUUAGCUUAAGAUAGAAAAUUAGGAAUAGAGUUAAAUGUGGGAAACCUUUUGGGAACAUGGAUGAUAGAAACAAAAGGUAGAGAAGUUAAAAGGAAUGAAAUAAAAUUUGGAAAGCAUGCUCAUGAGAAAAUCUAAAUGAUUUAAUUAUCAUGUGCAUUAAAAUAUAUAUAUAUAUAUAUUUUAUUUCUUAAAGGGGAUACAAAAGAAAUUCCCCAAUACAAAAUAAAAAUAAUGCACAUGGAAUAAAAAUAAAAAUUAAACAUGAGCAUGUAACAAUAAGUGGAGAAUUAUGGAAAUUAGGUAAAGAAAUUUUAUUUUACUAAAUAUGUAUGUUAGGUGAGAUCUUAGUCUAAUUAAGGAUUCACUUAUUAGCUCACUUAACCAUAUACAUAAACCCUUACCUUUACCUUGGCCCCAUUACAACCUUAAUUAAGACCUCAUGACUUUUUGGUAUGACUAUAUUCUAUAAUUGUUGAUUGGUUAGAUGAAAAACAAAGCUGUAGAAAUUAAGAAUAAAAAGAAAAAUAGAGUGGAUAAACCCAAUAAACACUGAGUGACUAGAGAGUAAACACAAAAUCCAGCGAGGGUUCAAUAACUCAUCAACAUAUAUCCGUGCUCAAAAUUUACUAAUUGUUUUGCAAGUUGUACAAUGUUUUCUUUCCCAUCUCAUUUGCUAAAGUGCUUUAUUAUUUAAGGGUUGGCUAUAUAUAUAUAUAUAUCCAUAACUCCUUGAGAAUGUGAAUUAACUUAGCUACAUGUAAGCUUUAUAUAUGAGUGGAUGAAUUAGGAAUUGCAUGACUCAUUAGGUAGAUACAUUUAGCAUAGGUUGCAUUUCAUAACAUUCCAUCACUUUAACCUUAAUUAUUUGCCUUGGAUUUAGCAUGAGGCAUGCUAGUGUUUAAGUGUGGGGAGGUUGAUAAACCCAUAUUUCAUGAGUUCUUUUAUGCUUAAUUAGAGUGAUUUAUUCAACUCUUCACCUACUUAUUCACAUUAAUUGCAUAGUUUUACUUUCCCUUCCUUAUUAUGUCAUAUAAUGAAAAACAUGUUUUCUAAGCUUUAAAAAUUAAUUAUUUUAAUUACCUUUAUUUCCAUUCGAUGCCAUGUUUAGUGUGUUGAGUAGUUUCAGAUUUUCUAAGGCAGAAUGACUUAAGGGAUGAAAAAGGAAACAUACUAGAAUGGAAGGAGGAAGCAAAACGGAGCUUUAAAGAAACUGGUAUCCACGCGAUCGCAUGGAUGACGCGAUCGCGUGCCAAGCACGAAUCAGCAGCGACGCGGCCGCAUGACUGACGCGACCGCGUGGCAAGGAAAAGCUCCAAAUGAUGCGACCGCGUGACCCACGCGGACGCGUGACAGAGGCCACGCACCAGAAAUUGCAGAAAACGCUCGUGACGAGUUCCGAGGCCCUUUUUGGCCCAAAUCCAAGUCCAGAAGGCAUAGACUAGAGGUUAUGAAGUGGGGGAAUGCAUCCAUUCAGAGAGAGCUCGCAUAUUUUCACUUUUCAAUGAUUUAGAUUUAGUUGAGAGGGAGAUCUUCUCUCUCUCUCUCUCUUAGGAUUUAGGAUUUCUUCUUGUUUUGGGAGUAACUCUGGAUCCAGGUUUAAUUGUUCUUUUAUUUUAAUUCUACAAUUAUUUAUUCCAACAUUUGAAUUGAUUAUUAUAAUUUAUGAAUUAUUCCAUGUUACAGAUUCCUAUUUGAAUUAAUGAUAAUUUGAGGUAUUUUCAGUUUAUGAUUGUUCUCUUUGAUUUAAGUUGCCAUUGCUUCCCAUCUAAGGACACUUUUAUUAUUUCAGCAAUUUAAUUUUUCCCCUUUUGGUUUCGGUUAAGAAUUUAGUAACUCAACAGUUAUCAAACUCAACGUAAUUGAUAAUCGUUAUCUUGCUAAUUAAGUUGAACUUGAAUAAUCCCAACCUUUUCUUAGGAAAUAAUUAGGAUUCAAAGGUCAAUUUAAUUAGUCCCUUAACUUUCCUUUGCUCUGGUAAAGGUUGACCAAGUGGAAUUAAGAUACAACUUUCAUUAUAGUUGAGAAGGAUAACUAAGUUGGACUUCAAAUUUCCCUUAUCUUGCCAAAAGUUGUUUUACAGUUAUUAUUUAUUUUUAAUUGACAUUUAAUUCACUCGUCACUUAAAUUACUUGCUUCUCACCUUCUAAACCCCGAUUACAACCUUUAUAACCAAUAAUAAGAACAUACUUCCUCGCAGUUCCUUGAGAAGACGACCCGAGGUUUGAAUACUCGGUUAACAAUUUUUAAGGGGUUUGUUACUUGUGACAACCAAAACGUUUGUAAGAAAGGUUGAUUGCUUGGUUUAGUAACUAUACUUACAACGAGAGUUUUUAUAACCUCUAAACCAUCAAUCCACAGUUCUUCAGUAUUACGACAUCAAAAAUAAAAAUAUAGUACGUAUAGUAGUAUGAAUGAUUGAUUAUAACUAGGAGCCUUUGUAUAAAAAGGGGUAAACAAAAAUCGCAACUCGACAGCGCAACACUCCGAUCGAUAACGUAACGAACAAGGAUAACCAAUGCGAGAUUAUAUAUAUACAAAGGAGUGUCAAAAACAGGAAUAUAAAGACUCAAAAUCCGGCUGCGAAGAUAACCAGUUUGAGCAUAACAAUAUAUACAUAUGAUAAAAUAAGGAAAAACUCCAAAGGAAAUCCAAAGGGACACAAAUACAUAAAACCUAUUCUCCAAAAUCUCCCAUAAGAUGAGUCAUCACAGUUUGUAUUAUUUAAAGGAGAUAAAAGUAUCUAAGCAAAACAUAUAAACCAAAAUAUAGUCCCGAGAACAAAGGAUCUUCGCAAAUCUAGAAGUCUCCAGCAUGCCUCAGCGGGAAACCUCACGUCCUGCAUCUGAAAACCACAAAAUCCGCAUGGGUGAGAACCAGAGGUCCCCAGCAUGGUAACAGCUUCCACAUAUAUAAUACAUAAUAAUAGAGGAAAGCCGAAGGCAAUCCUAGAACUUCCUCCAGAUAAAAAUCAAAGCUUAUAAACAAGCUAAACCAUAAAAGGGCAUCUGACUAAAGAUUCUUCAGUCUAACUUAUACUUCCCUUUCCAAUUCCUUCAAAUCUCCCAACCACCAGCAGGAGUAUAAUGUAGCAAACACAGUUAUAUCAAAUAGGAAAUAUACAAAUAGGAAUAAUUAAGGCAUUUAGACAAUUACCAAAUAAUAUACAGCCAAUUAGGCAAUCUCAAACAAUUCAUAUAGUAUGCAUAUGAUGAAUGCCUGUCCCUAGUGGCUGAUGAUAUCAUCUGUCGGUUAUAGAGCCAACCCGAGAAGUCCCGGUAGCUAACCAUUGGACUGUCCCUCUGUCACGCAUCCCCAACUCGAGUUAUACUCAUCAUAAACUUGAUCAUAAUCAUGAUCCAUAUCCAUCACCUUCACUGGUGAAUAUUUACGGGGGCGAGCUCAUUCGGGUCUUUCACAGUGCCCGGCCACACUUAUGACAUAGGGUCAAAAGAGCUUCGAGUCUCAACCUGGAGCACGGGGUAGCUAGCUACUGCUUCCUCCCAGGGAAACUCUCAUCUCCAACAGUGGAAGUGCAACAUUCACAAUUCAUUCAACAGCAUAUAUGCAUUUAUACAUAGCCAUAAUCAUGGCUCCGCCGUAACACGGCAAUAAUCUAGCCAUCCGGCUCAUGGUUAAAUCCAUAACCAGCCAAUUCAUUAACAAUUACGGCCCUUCGGCCCAUGGCAUAACAAGCACUUCCACCACCAUCCUCCGCCUCUCACAUAAUCAUCUUUGAUCCUCAUUGAUCAUUCAUUUUUCCCUUGCUUCACUCGCAAGUUACCACAUUCACUAGCCCUUCUUCUCAUAGCUAGACAUGUCAUAAUGAUUUAAGACAUAAGUGGUGAGAUCGGAGGCUUAGAAGUAUGAAAUUUGACUUUUAAAACUCAAAAAUCAACUUUGGGAUGAAAACAGGGCCACGCGUACGCGCACUCCACGCGCACGUGUGGAUGGCCUCGAAAACUCAUCGACGCGUAUGCAUCAUACACGCUAACGCGUGGAUUGAAAAUUAGCCAAGCGACGCGCACGUGUCGCCCAAGCGUACGCGUGGGUGCUCUCGUGCCCUAGGCACAAAACUAGCACAGUUCUGGCACAACUCUCUGGCAAAUUGGCUGGGCAUUGGGUGCAGCACAUCGGCGCGCCCGCACACACCACGUGCACGCGUGGAUGGCAUUUUCCGGAAGAACGGCACGUACACGCCAAGUGCGCCUACGUGCAAGGGGUCAUUCUGCUAAAAAUUUUUCUAAGUUAAAAGCUGCAGAAUUCACAAAUUUAAACCCCAAUCUUCCAACGGACAUAACUUUCUCAUUUUAAAUCGUUUUUCACCCGUUCUUCGAACGGCAUGGACAUCCCGGAUCCAAUUUCAUUUCUAAACAGAUUUGGCACAAAACAAAGAUCCGUAGUCCAAGUUAUGUCCCGUCAAAGUAUGCCCAAAAACUAUAUUUUCAUACAAAACCACAACAUGCCAUUUUCAAAACAAGUCAUUUUCAACUCUUAUCAAAAUCAAUCAAAACAUGCCAAUUUCAUCCCUUUUCUUUGAAAUCAAUCAAAAUAUAUCAAAUUCAACAUCAAGCCUCCACAUAUUGACAUAUCAUAUACUCUUCCUCAUGCCAAUUCUCAACAACACCAAUUCCAAUAAAUCAUCAUUGUACACAAUUAAUAUCAUACUCACCAUCAACAUGGUUCAACCCAUAAUUCAACCAUAACCAAUCAUCAAGCAUAUAUCACAACAUGUAUAUUUCUCAUACAUCAUACCAUCAAGGCAUCAUUAAUCAUCAUCACAUAUAUGACCACAUCAUAUAUUUCAACCAUUCAACAACAUCAACAAUUCAAUGCCUAUCUUAGGGCCUCUAGCCUAAGUAUUUCCUACCACAUUACAUAUUAGAUACGGAAAACCGAGACCAUACCUUAGCCGAUUUCCCAAACUCAACCGGAGCACUUCCAAACCACUUUUUCCUCAAGCUCUCAAGGUCUCAACACCUUCAAGAAUAGAUUUUUCACCACCAAAUCCCUUUUUAAGCUUUCCAAAAUCACCAAUCAAGCUCCAAUAUUCACACAUACACAACCUAAGCCACAAUCAUCAUACCCAUACACAACAUCUCAAAACCCAAACAUCAUAGAACAACAAAAUUAUACUAGGGCUGAGAAUCUUACCACACCCAAGGUCCAAGGAGAUACGAUUAACCUUCUCCUUCAAGAGAGUUGGGUCCUAUAACAUCAAAGAGCCCAAAAUCUCAACAUUUUUGCUCAUGAAACUCGAAAACAAGGCUGGAAAUUCGAAGAGUAAAACGUGGCUUACCUCAAUAUUAAUUGUAUGGGUUUUGUAGAGCUCUUCACGGUGAACGCGUGGCCGCAAACGGGGCGCCAAUCGGAGCUCUAGAUCAAAAGUUAUGGUGGUUUGAAGAUCAAGUGAGAGAUAGAAGUUGAGAGAGUGUUCUUCCCCCUUCCAUCUCAAUUUUCAGCGUGUUUUGGUGUUGUGUGAGGAGAGAGAGUGCUAAAAACUAGGGUUUUGGUUUAGUUAUGUUGGGCCAAGGGCCCACUUUGGGUCCGAUUGGCCCGGUUUGGCCCGUUCGGUCCAAUCUUGGUCCGAAUUCUAUAAAAUUGGUACCGAAAUUCUCGUCUCAAUCUCCUUUAUCAUAUUUAGCCAUAAAAACCACAUUUUGGGCUUUCUAGAAUAAAUUCUCAUUUAUAGGUUAAUUCGCCGUUAAUUAACCGGAUUUUAUAAAACACGUAUACAUAUAGAAGUAGCUCCAGUCAGACCUUUUCUCACAAACCCUGUCAUUCUCACUACAUGGCAGAAACCUAACCUCAAAAUCAUGCCCACGCCUUACCCAAUUAGCCUCAUUCAGUUGUUUCACAAGCUCAUCAUUACAAAAUAUAGAUACGCAACCCCUAACAUCACUAUCAACCCAGCUAUAGACAUCACUCUCAUCAAUAGCAACAGUACCUUUUUUUCCCCAUUUUAACAAAGAAACGAAAGAAAACCAACAGACAAUAACAAUUUACUAACCUUUUUUUAGUCAUGAUGCGUUCCAAGAACAAUGUAAUGAACUCCAACGCGAACACAGUAGCCAGUUGAAGAGACAACCCCAACUCCCAAGAUACCCACUACCCCACGUUUCCUAAAACCACUAAAGGAAGCGGGAACGAACAUCACACUUCGCAUAAAAGCCCAACACAUAAUAGCCCAAAAAAAAGUUGAACUUGGGGGCUCCGUUACGGUCAACAAAGCUUCAAAAGCCAAAAACAUAAAAAGCUCAACUUGUUUUUUCACAGGACAAGCUUGGGGGCUGUGAUCCAUACCAAAAUACUCGGCUUCCAGAAGCUUUGACCGAGCUUAACCACAAAUAGAAAACGUCGGAUUCGAAUUCUCCAAACUAACCGAUAAUAGCUGAAUCUUCCAAACUUACCGAGAUAUAAGGGCACAACAGAAAAUAUCCAUAACAGCCCUACUAUCAAGGUCGGCAUAACGGUGGAAUCACUAAGCUUUCCCAUCUAUAUAAGUCACCUCCUAACCCCACUAGGGGACACGAUUCUGAUCCAAUCUCAUCUGAGCACUGAAGAAUAAAGCACUUCAGCACACAUAAGACACCUAUUUUAUUUUCUUUUAAAGUAUUUUUCGUUAUCUUAGAAUAUUACUGACUUGGGCGUCGGAGUCCCUUUUGCAGGUUCCACGCCGACCUCAUCCCGGUUCCAAGGAGGACGUUCCGAGUAAUAGAAGGACCUCUCAAUCUGACCGUAGCUGAGUUAUAAGUCGGAAGCCACACUCCAGAGCGGAACAGUUUCAAUUCACAAAUGUCAUCACUCUUCAAUCCUCUCAUCUCAUACUUGAAUCUCUUCAUCAUGUCUCUUUUAUUUUUGAGUUUGCAUAAAUUUUAUUUAUGUUUUUUUAAUUUACUUUUUAAUUUGAUAUUAUAUCAUAAAAUUACUUAAUUUAAAUAUUUAAAUAAUGAUAGUAUAUACUAAUUCUGAAAUGGCAAUUUUUAAUAUAAAAAUCUUAUAAAACCAUUUUUAAUAAGGUUUCGGAUGCGAUUCUUCUAAAAUUUUAUAUAAAUAGACUAAUUAUUUAUAUAUGAUUUUUUACUUUCUUGAAAAUAGAUUCUAAGAUCAAAUUACAUAAUACAACAUUAUCAUCAUUGUUAUCGUUAUCACCACUAAUCGAAUAUUUAUUGUUUUAAUUUUAUUAUUUUAUUUAUUUUGAUUUUGUAAUUACUUUAUUUAUUUUGAUUUUGUAUCUAAUAUUUUAAAUAUAUUUUCGUUAUACUGUUAUUUGGGACUAAUAUAAAGCAUACAAUUCGUUAAUGGAAAUAACUAACGCAUCAAUUUUAAGUUGGUAUGUCAUUGACACAUAACAAUAUAUACUAGUAAUGUUAAGUCCAACCAUGUUAGAAACUAAGGAAAAAUAACUUAAAGUCCAAUUAUAAAAUUAAAAACAAUACUAAAAUUAAAAGUGAAAAUAUAAACACUGAACAAAAAAUAGUUUUUCAUUUAUUGAUAUUCUCUCCUUUUAUGAAAGAGCGUAAUUUAUUAAAUAAAAAAAAAUCUUAAGUUGAAUCAUGUGAUCAGAAAAAACUAAUAAUCAAAAUUAAUCGCUCUCUUAUCUUAAUUGUCUAUUUUUACACUUGUGUAGUUAUAAAUUGAAUAAUAUGAAUAGUUUUGUGUAAUUAUAUACCUCAUGUAUAUCUACUAUUAAAACCAGAAAAUUAUACUGUAUAUUUAAAAUGCAUUAAAAAAUUAACCAUAUAUUUUCGAAAAACAAAAUCAAUAAUUCAAAAGUUAAUGAAAUACCCUAAAAAAUAGCAAACUAAAAAAAAAUGCUAACUCUUUUAGAGAAAUUGUAACAUCCUAACUAUCAAAAUGUCACGCUUCCGGCUGUGCCACUCUGAUAGCUCAGGUAUUACGACGACUUUUAAAAUAUUUAAUACUAAAAUAUAAGCUUGUUUAAAAGUUUAAACCGUAUAACCGCUCAAGAGACUUCUUAUCUGACAACAUAUAACCACAUUUACAAAACAAACCACAAUACUUACAAAAGAUACAUAUACAUAUAUCUACAUAUUAUCAAUAUUACAAGCAUUGCAUAAUCAAAAUUCUAUCCCUCUUGUGAAGACUUGCAAAAUUAAAGGCGAGGGAAACAUAAAACUAAGAUAAUACAAAAUAAUAUCGAAUAAACAGAAAAUAAAUAUAACUCUCGUGAAACUCCAUCGCCCAUAUCCUGAAAAGGGAAAAAACUGUAGGGGAGUGAGAACAUCGUUCUCGAAAGGGUUCUCACUAUAGGGUUACAGAAUUGCUAUAAUAAGAUACAAAAAUAAAACCAUUUUUAAUGUAUAGUGAUUAAUAACCGCCUUAUGCUUCUUUUCAAAACCAAAGAUUUAAUAUUCAAAAUCCGAAAUCCUUUCUAAAAGGGAAAGCUGUUAAUUUGCUCAGAAAUCCAAAAGCUCUUUUUUUUUAAGUUUUUUCCUAGAAAGCAUGAAUGACCAAACUGUUCCAAGCAUAGGUUCAUUAAGUCUAUGCUGAACCAGUUUGGUUUUUCAUACUUUUCUAAACCGAAAACACAACCAAACACAACAUUCAGCCCAUCUCAUAAUCAACCACGGCCCUAGGCUCAAGCAGCUCAAUCAAAAACCAAUUCAUCACAAUCCAACCAAUUCUCAGCCACAAACACAAGUAAGAAGGUUCAAACACAAUCAAGCAGUUAUAUCAAGUAGAGCAAUUAGCAAUUAACAUAACUAUUCACAUAGGCAAACCAAUUAUAAUAUGCCCACCCAAACAAUGUCAUAUAAAUGCAUAUGUUGCAUGCCUGUCCUACUGGCCAUGAGCUCACGCGUCGGUUAUGUUGCCAGACCCGACUCGGAUAAGCGGGAUUCAACCACCAUCCUUAUCCGUAGGUUCCACAAGCAAGCGGGACUAAACCACCAUCCUUGCCCGGAACACGCAAGCGGGAUUUAAACCACCGUCCUUGCCAAAUAAUUUAUCAAUAUGUGAGCGGGACAAAACCACCAUCCUCACUGCAGGCGGGACAAAACCACCAUCCCUGCAUAACGGUUUACGCACUGAGCAAGCGGGACUAUACCACCAUCCUUGCCA
RNAcentral lists this long non-coding RNA (54830 nucleotides) under Arachis ipaensis. Its description in RNAcentral is "long non-coding RNA (AIPA_LNC001018)". The stretch from base 331 to 440 matches the Rfam family "Plant small nucleolar RNA R71". The record is from RNAcentral. Lineage: Eukaryota; Viridiplantae; Streptophyta; Magnoliopsida; Fabales; Fabaceae.